This 46218-nucleotide long non-coding RNA is filed under the name Hordeum vulgare. RNAcentral's name for it is "long non-coding RNA (HVUL_LNC007478)". Lineage: Eukaryota; Viridiplantae; Streptophyta; Magnoliopsida; Poales; Poaceae. The record is from RNAcentral.
AUAUGUGAUGAUCUUGCCAAGAUUCAUCUCAACCAAAGUUGAUUUGAUUCAGCUAUAUAUUCCAAAACCCUAUCUACCCAGAUCCAAAUUUGAGCAUCCCUACAUUGCCAAGUGUCUCCAAUUGUGCUCCAAUUUUGUGGACAUGUUUUGGUGCUCUAAUAAUGCAUCCACACCAAGUGGUGCGUCAAGCAGAAUAGAUGAACUUGUCCAUAACCCCUCAAAACCUUCUUUGUUCAUUUCUAGAAUUGAGAAACUUUGCAUUGUGCAUACCGUGCCGUGAGGUCGUGUUAGGGCCGGUUUUUCUGGGAUUUUAAAUUCCCAACAAAAUGGCCCUUGUGCAUACCGGCCCAAGGAAUACUGUUAGAUGGUACAUAAAACCUUGAUACAAUGUCCAAGAAAAUUACAAGUUUGAAUUACAAGACCAAGAUGGCCUAUGGAGUACAUAAAAAUGUUUCUACUGGUUGAUGGAAGAAGCGGUCCCGGGAUCUCCAGCAUCUAUGCGACUCCAUUUCCCACCAGAACAGCUGAGUUGAAUAAUUCCUAUCUCACACGGCUGCUGUCUUCAGUGCCUAGAUUCGGGGGCAAUCGUGAGGAUGCUCUUCUCCAAAUGUGCAAUCUGGCCUAAACAAUAGCCAGGGACAAGCCAGUGAGUACUUUGAAUGUACUCGCAAACACCAUGAAAUCAGACAUAAAGUAGCUGGUUGUUAAUAUGCACUUGAAAUGAUUCAAUUAUAUUCCGUUAGUCAUAAUCCAACUUCUUAAGUGCAAGCAAACAUGUAUUUUAACCACACUGGUAAUUUAAUAAGAAAUCAAAGAAGAAAGAUUAAUUAGAACAUCGGGCGGCAAUCCUCUCGAAUUUUUCCAAGAAAAAGGAAAGAGUCCGAUCGGGUGUCUAGAGCGACGCCUCAAAAGGAUAAGAUAUAAAGCAUGCCUCAGUCGGGCAUCUUAGCGACACCACAUAAAGGGAUUAUAUGAAAUAUUAACAAGCAUGCCAUAGUCGGGCGUCUCCGCGACACCGCAUAAAGGGACUAUAUGAAAUAAUAACAAUGAAUAUCCAGGAGGUAGAACCGUCCAAGGGAUAUUUAACAUUCAUGUAUCAUAAAGGUUAGUCCAUAGUAAAGUAAUAAUUAUGAUCAUCCACCAUAUUUCACGGUUUCCUCAUCGUUAAGUUUACUUCCUCCAAAGAACGAUACCGAGACUGACACUUGACCUGUCAACCAGUCGUCCUUGAUCGAGGAUAGGACUACUCGAAUAGUUUUGACUCUAUAGAGGGUGUACUCUUUACCCACCACCUACAGGUUUCAAUAGUCACUCGGACUAAUCCGGUGUACGGUAUCUCAGAAGUUAACACUCAAAAGGAUCAAACACCCAUUUUCCCCCGUGAAGACCGAACUCACUAGGGCUACCCUGCCAGGGAAAAACCAUAAGACGGGGAGGCUGCAACCUCGACUAGCACAUGAUCGAAUUUAUACCGCACACUAGAAGGGGAGAGCUCUUCCCCUCUUGGUCCCAGACCGGAAACACCCAUGCCCCCUGACCCGAUGACUGGUUUUAUUCUAGUGCCCCGGAGAUCUUCAUACCGGCCCCUCUACUUGGUGUGUACCUGAUAAUAGGUCUACGACUUACUGAACCGCAUUCCCUUUCAGGAAGACAUGUGGCAGCACGAGAGGGUAAGGUGACACACUGACAAGACUCGAUAUCCGGUCGACUUAGGAGGUUUAAGUUAUUCCCUGCAUGAUUAGCACAACAAAAACUUUUCAUGAUUAGAAUCCCCAACUUUCAUACACCAAGAUGGCUUAGUCACCAUCCUUGUCCUACAAGAUGUCAGUCCCCAAGGCCGUGUCUUUCCCAGAUAGCGACUCUCCUCGGAUCCCAUCCGAUAGGCAUUCGUGGGAGAAAGGAGUGACUACUAUCACAUGCAUCUCAAUAUGCAACAAAAAUAAUUCCUCACCAUGUACUCAUGUGCAUGAUCAUAUCACCACAUAAAAUAUCAUCACUUGUUCCAAACAUAAUGAUAACAUUCCUCCAUCACAACAAUUCACACACAACCAUAAUAUAUCCAAGUACAGGAUGCUUGCCUUCCAAGUGUAGACAGGUAGGAUGGAUUCCAAAUAUUUUGGAAGUUUUUACUCCUCUGUCAAUAUCUUAUUUUAGAAAAUAUUCUAAUUAACACAUAAUUUAAAAACAGUACAAAAAGCUGUCUUAGGAAAUUUACAAAGAAAUACUAAAAUAAACUAUAUAAAAUUGGAAAGAGGUGAGAAAAAAUCAACUCAUUCAGAGUUUUUAUUUUAGAAAUUAGAGCUAGUCAAAGAUUGGUCAAAGCUCUAUUUUAAAAUAAUCUAGAAAAGGGAAAACACUUCGGAGGGAAAUACAUAAGUGCGAGGAGGAAACGUACUUCACAGAAGGCGUGUCCAUUUUAUCCAACACACGCGUGGCUCGCGAGUCACUAACAGACUGUCAAUUGGGCCCACUGAUCAGGUUUGACCAGUCGCGUGCGCCUUCUUCCUCCUCUGGCCGGGCGGUGGCGGGGUUCCAGCGGUCGUCGCCAGCGAUUGGCGACUUCUGGGUUUCUUCCGAUGGCGGGAAUGGGAUCCCCGCAAGCUACUGGUCCUCUUGGAGGUCGAAAGGGCCGCGAAGACGGAGAGGGUCGCCGGUGGCGAGCGCCGAGGCGAACGGCUAUUGCGGGAGUAAUGCGGAUUCGACCUACAGUGGAUCCCAAUCAUGUAUGAGUGAUGGGAUGGCUUGAUGGGGUGAGGGUGGUUCAACUAAAGGGGAGAAGGGCGCAAGAUUAAUCCUGCUGGCCUCGAAUUUCACUAGGGAGGCAGCGGCCGAACUCUGACCGGAGAUGAGGAAGAUGGCCUCCCCCGGUUGAUUGGUUGCUAGGGUAGCUUGAGAGCGGUAGGAUUUAUGAUUCGGAGGGUCUGGGCGAGCUUGGGGUCCUAUUUAUAGCGCGGGCGACAUCGCUUCCUGGCGGCAGUGGAUAAGAACUACGACUACUGCACGGGCGACGUGGCGGUCGACUGGCGGGGACCAGGCGCUAGCAGUCGAGCUUGUGGAUGAGCUCGAGCUAAUCUAGGGGGAAUCUCACGCGUGUCUCUGGCUUGGGCGAUGCUGCCAUCGCCACGGCAUGCUCUGCUAGCAUCGGUGGUCAGCACGGCUGAAGUGGCUCGGGCGCGCAGCAAGGAGGGAGUCAGUGGUGCUAGUGAGGGGAGGCUGUAGGCUUCCGACGUAGGGGGGGGGGGGGGGUCACUGGAGCACUGCAGUUCGGCGCGAUGACUCCCUAUACAUCACGUGCAAAACGCACGCUCCGGGCAUGCUCUGGGCAGGCACGACAGGUGUUCGACCAAAUGCCGAUGCAUGCCAGAGGCGUCCACUACCUAUGAAACUUCACAGGACUAGGUUGGAGAGCUAAAGGGGCUCGAGGGACAUGGUGGUUUGCAUGCUGGAACAAUCCCAUAGAGCAAACUAAAACCAUGUCAAAUCUAGCCAGACACACAAGGUGCUCGACAAAAUGCCAUGGGCAUCUAUAUGGAUUUGGUGGUCACCAAAAUUCCCAGGUUGAGGUCUCUUUGGAAGCUAAGAAUGAUGGCAUGGUUAGUUUUCUAAAAGCAGGAACUUGCUAGUGCAUUAAUUUGAGAAAAGCAUUUUGGGUAGAAACUUCAGGAGGUUAAAACAGGGGCUUAAACUAUGCCACUCGAGUUGACCUCUUGGACUUAAGGUUUUGGUAGGGCCUACUAUCAGCAGUAAAAUCUCAAGAGAGUUGGGGCAAGAUAAAACAUGGUUGUAGUACAAACUGCAAAACUGGUCCAAAACAGAAAAGGGGUUGAGGUGCUCAAAAUUUUAUAAAUACCAACGUGGUUUUUUGCAUCAAAGUAAUGUACACACCUCCCUUGAAAUUUCCCAAUUUUUGUAUAAUUUUUGAAAUAGUAGAUCCAGUGGUUGUAGUUCAAAACACCAACUGGACCAGAAUAGAAAAGGGAUUGUUUUGCUAAAAUUUUCCAAAACACAUAAUUGGGUUUUUGCAUGGAUGUGAUCCAAGGAUAUCACAUGUCACCUACAAAUUUUUAUAGAACUUUUAAAUGAAGUUAUCAAAUGGUUGCAAUGCAAAUGAGGUCAUUAAAGGAUUCAAAAACUAUUUUUGAAUAAAUGAAACCUAGAAAACUAUUUAUAAAAAAAUCUCCACUGGAACUCUCAAAUGCAAGGGAAAUGUUUUGAGGAAAGCACUCAAGUCUCACCAUAUUUUCCAAAAACUCCAACUUGGGGAAAGAAAUUUUAUAAUCCAGAGAAAAGAAGUGGGUCUGAACUCAAGAGAAAACCCAGAAAUAAAAAUUUGAAUAUACAUGGUCAAAUUUAUAUAAAUAAAAUGAUGGCUAAAUUUUUGGGGUGUUACAAACUGUACCCCCUUAAGAAAAAUCUUGUCCUCGAGAUUUGCUAAGGACGUAGCAAAAAUAUUUACCCCUACCACACUACAAUAUCAACACGAAAAUAAAUACUCUAUAUAAACAAUAUGAUGAGGUUAUAGUGAGAAAACGAUAAUUGGUGCAACCCAAGUGUGGUACUGGUGCUACAGAUAAUAUCUAUGGUUGGGCAAUCGAGACGUUUCUACUUAAGGCUACGACAAAUUCGGAAAAAGAAAGAUUUCAAAUUCUGAAUGGUGCUUGUCGUACCCAAGUGCAUAGUGUUCUGUCUCGCUGACAGGUGGACCCAAGGCCCAAUGUCAGUCUCUUCUUCUUCCUCCGGCUCCCUUCUUCCUUCUCUUCAUGUGCUUUUCAUGCUUUCUCCAUUCGUGGAUUCUAGGGCCGUACUACGGUAGUGCGCGACGUGCUACUGCGGGCGCAACAUGCACUCAUCUCGCGGGCUAGUGCGUGUUAGCACUGGUCAUGGAUUAGCCUCCGAACACCGGCGAUCGAGCAACGAGGAGCGCUGGUGGACUUCGCCCACUGUACACCAAACUCGAGCUAUAAAAAUGACUGCGUCAUUCCUCUCUUCUACCUCACACCUAGCCUCACACCUAGCCUCACUCCUCCUUCUUCGUCCUUCUUCAGUUCUGCUUGCAGGAGCUGGAGGCGAGGCUUUAAUGGUGGACGAGCCUCUGGGGUGGCUGACGAUCCUACUGGCUAGAGGGAUGGCGACAUUGAUCGGGCUCUCAAUGCUCCUAUGCGUGCUGAUCCAAGAUGAUCAUUACGACACUGCUGCUUGAGUAGGGGCUCUCCGCGGCGGCAGUGACCAUGAUGACUCGAUGUCUACAAUGUGCAUGAGUGGGGGCUAGUGUGCUAGCAGCAACGCUGCAAAAAUAAAACCUCCACAGAGGUUUUCCUCUCGGGGGAAGAUUGUGGUGCUCGCGAGGCGAUUAGCUAGGUGUUAAGCGUGUGCGUUGUUCUUCUCUUAGUGCAUUUGCAGAGUGACUGUGGUUGUGAGCCGGUUGUCAUGCAAAUAAAAUUCAUGUUGGAAAAGUUUUGCUGCACUGGUUUUAUUUAGAAAACUAUCACAUGAAGGAAUGUUAUAAGAAAAAAAAUACAAAGAAAAAUCACAGCAAUCACACAAUUGAAAUCAUAACAUAUGCAUAUGAAAAAUUACAAGCAAGGCACAAUUAUUACAUCACACAAUCAAACGCUAGGCUAGCAGAUACAAACACGGCGUUCACAGAACACGCAAAAUCUAACGGCCAUGAGAAAAUAUUUCCGUCAUUGGAAUAUCUCCUUCGUCCUCAGGGCGUGCGGUUGGAGGACUCGCAGAAUGCGCCUUGCUGGGUCUAACCUCAGAGGUUCGCCAAUGGCGAUCUGAGGAUUUUGGACAACGAGGCCUAGGAGAAAAUCCAUCACUUGCUGGGUCAAACGCUCUUGAGCGAUGACAUACUGCACUAGCCUGAUCAACACGGGGACUCUCUCUGCACGGGUGCCUUGGAAAUAUGCUGCUUCUCCGGGCGUUGCACGACUCGGAAAAUAACAAUACCCCCUUUCAUUGGCAUAUGGCACUGCAAAUCGUGAGGCGAGAAAUCGGUUCGUAGGUAGCAACCUCUAUGGCAAUUUUCAUGGUAGGCAUAGAUUUCCCGCUGAUACAAACUUUCGUGGGGUCUUGGUUACGGUCCACUCGGAAAAUGUGCACAACUUCCCAAUAUUUCGAAGUGGUGGAAGUGAUCCUCGAUUUGAACAACUCAUACUGUGGUUGGUGGGGAGAACCCAUGGUACUGCGAGUAAAAUCCCACAAUAUCUUAACAGAACUCUCGGGAGGUGCAUCCGGAUUUCUGAGGUAACUCCCUUCGGGUGGCAUGUCAAAAGGCUGGGAAGGCAGUGCACAAGGCGAGGAAUGCUGGAAAAAGUCACUGGGUGACUCUUAUAUAGGAGUGGGUUAGGGCACAUGCUCUGGGUUGGGUUGGUCUCGGCAGUUGGCUCCACUCUAACGUGGUUUGGUCAAGGCCACAGAUAAAAGUCCACAAAAUGUGACAUAUUACUCUGGUGGUCGGCUGGGACUGGCUUCCAGUGGUUACGUCCAACUAUAAGCUAUAUGGCCAAGUGCAUACACAUAUGGCCACCAAUGGUACUAUGAAAAUAAUUGCACACAAACAAUCUGCCCAUUUAUUUGUGAUAAUACUAGCUCUAAUAUUACAAGCAUAGUAGCACUACGGUAGGGUUAUGGUUAGUACACUUCGUUUACAUCCAGGUGGGCGGGUCUCGCAAACGUCGAGGCUAUUGGAACCGCGACGUCAUGGUUGCUCGGGGAAGAAGGCGGGGCUACAAGACUGGGGUAGCGGUGGUGUCCAUUGUGGGGUGUUGUGGCUACUGUCCUGUUGGAGGAAAUCCCCAAAAUGCGGCGAAGCUCCUGAGGGGAGAUAGGCACAUGAUUCGGUUCGGCAGCAGGGUUAGACCUGAGGAGCUGAAUCGGUCUCCCAAACAACACUACAGGGUUGCUAGCGUUGGGCUCCGCUUCCCUCCUCCUUGGGUCAAGACGAGCCAGCUCUCCACGAGCUGCAUUCAGGUCGAGGGUGACCUACUCGUAUAGUGCCUCUUGCGCUCUCAUGUAGCUCACAAGAUGCAAUAGGACGAGGUCGGUCUCAUGGUCUCCGUUGGGGACUUGGAGCAUCCUACCAUAACCUUCACGACUAGGGUAGUAGUAGAACGAGCGACAGUUAACUCUUGGCGACAAGUGCGAGAGUUGAACUAUUUCCUCUCGAGAUGCUAGAUGGAUGGCUUGUGGCUUGUAGGAAGUUGAUCUUUCGGUGAACCGAUAGGGGCGCUCUUGGGUGAUACUCCUGCCGUAGAUGUGUACCGUGGCCUAGAAUCGACGGAUGGCAUCACUCGUGUGCUCUUGGUACACAACAUACGCUGGAGGCUCUUCCAUAGCAAAGGCACGGCGGGUUAAGUUGGCAAGGAUGGCAACAAAACCUCCUUGUUUAAUACCAGUGGUCUCAUUGUGAACAAUAGGGCCUGGCAUCCCGGAAGGCUGUUGUGGCUGUGAUGUGCGGCGUUGGGGCAAUCGUUCCCUCUAUAGAAAAUGAAAAUGGAGUCUUCCCUCACACGCUUGCGAAAAGGACAACUUAGUCAUUGGUCACAGGCAUGUGACCACAGGUCUAGUCUGAUAGGUUGGGGACCAACUGCCGAAAGGUGUCGGUUAACACUAUUUAGGCUACUGGUUAGCACAGGCUUGGCUAUGGUUAUGGUACUAGCGGGCUUGAGUGGUUACAUAGGGUUUAUUGACCCGGCUAAGAUAGGAUUAGCCAAUGGCCAGCCUGGCUCUGAUACCAAGGUUGUAAGGGCCGGUUUUUCUCGGAUUUUAAAUUCCCAUCAAAAUGGCCCUUGUGCAUACCAGCCACAGGAAUAUUGUUAGCUAGUACACAAAACCUUGAUAAAUGUCCGAGAAAAUUACAGGUUUGAAGUACAAGAUAAAGAUGGCCUAUGGGGUAUAUCAAAAAGGUUUCUACUGGUAGAAGGCGGAAGCGGUUCGGGGUUCUCCAGUGUCUAUGGGAUUCCAUGUCCCACUGGAAUAGCUGACCUCGAUAAUUCCUAUCUCACAUGGCUGCUAUCUUCGGUGCCUAGGUUCUGGGGUUAUCGUCAGGAUGCUCUUCUCCCAAUGCGCAAUCUGGCCAACACAAUAGCGCGGGACAAGCCAGGGAGUACUUUGAAUGUACUCGCAAACAUCAUGAAAUCAUACAUAAAAUAGCUGGUGGUUAAUAUGCACUUGAAAUGAUUCAAUGAUAUUCCGUUAGUAAUAAUCCAACUUCUUAAGUGCAAGAAAACAUGUAUUUUAACCAUACCGACAAUUUAAUAAGCAAUCAAAGAAGAAAAAUUAAUUGGAACAUCGGGCGGUAAUCCUACCGAAUAUUUCCAAGAACAGAAAAAUAGUCCGAUCGGGUGUGUGGAGCAACGCCUUCGAGGGAUAAGAUAUAAAGCAUGCCUCAGUCGGGCUUCUUAGCAACACCAGAUAAAGGACUUAUAAUAAAUAACAACAUGCAAGCCAUAGUCGGUCGUGUGAGCGACACCACAUUAAGGGAUUAUAUGAAAUAAUAACAAGCAUGCCAUAGCCGGGCAUGUGAGCGACACCGCAUAAAGGGCUAAUGUGAAAUAAUAAAAAUGAAAAUCCAGGAGGUAGAACCGUCCGAGGGAUAUUUAACAUUCAUGUAUCAUAAAGGUUAGCCCAUGAAAAAAUAAUAAUUAUGAUCAUCCACAAUAUUUCACGGUUUCCUCAUGGUUAAGUUAACUUGUUCCAAAGACCGACACUCAGACCGACACUUGACCUGUCAUCCAGUCGUCCUUGACCGAGGAAACGACUACUUGAAUUGUUUUUAAUCUGUAGAGGGUGUACGCUUUACCCACAACCCACGGGUUUCAAUAGUCACUCGGACUAGUAUCUGAGAAGUAAACACUCGGAACGAGCAAACACCCAUUUCCCCCCGUGAAGAUCGGACUCACCGGAACUACGCUCCAGGGAAAAAUCAUAAGACGGGGAGGAGCCAACCUUCAUGCCCCGUGACCCGAUUACUGGUUUUAUUCGAUUGGCAUGGGAUUGAAUUGAUACCACACGCUACAAGGGGAGAGUUCUCCCCCUAUCGGUCCGAGAACGGAAACACCCAUGCCCCGUGACCCGAUUAAUGGUUUUAUUCGAGUGCCCCAGAGACCUUCAUCCCGGCCACUCUACAUGGUGUGUGCCUGAUAAUAGGUUUACGACUUACUGAACCACAUUCCCUUUCAGGAAGACAUGUGGAAGCACGAGACGGUAAGGUGACACACUGACAAGACUCGAUCUAUGGUCGACUUAGGAGGUUUAAGUUAUUCCCUACAUGAUAGACACAACAAAAAUGUUUCACGAUUACACACAGAAUCACUAACUUUCAUACACCAACAUGCCUCCGUGACCAUCCUUGUGCUACGAGAUGCCAGUCCCCAAGGUCGUCUCUUCCCGAGACACAGACUCUCCUCGGAUCCCAUCCGGUAGGCAUGCAUGGCAGGAAGGAGUGAGAACUAUCACAUGCAUCUCAAUAUGCAAGAAGUAAUAAUUCCUCACCAUGUAGUCAUGUGCAUGAUCAUAUCACCACAUGAUAUAUCAUCACUUGUUCUAACAUAAUGGUAAUAUUCGUCCAUCACAACAAUUCACACACAACCAUAAUAUAUCCAAGUUCAAGAUGCUUGGCUUCUAAGUUUAGAUAGGUAGGGUGCGCUCCAAAACUGUCGGCAUUCUCGGAACUGGGGUACCCAGACCUGCCUGCCUGCGGCCCAGGGCGAGCCCACCUCAUCGACACGCGGACGACUGGAAUGGCACCUCCCGGAACAAGGCCCUCGCGAGGGGCCAAGCCUCACGAGGAGGAGCAGCGCCAACACCCGCGGGGUCCUCCUUAGGACCACUCCUGAGCGGCGGACAUUCCGAGGCAGGGCCGGGCCUUAGGAGUCAAGGGUGACGACAGGAAAGGACAGGCAAGCAGCAAAUGGCAGGCCAGGGCAGUUUCCCCUUGAGUGAAAAGAAGGUGGGAGCGAAUCAGGACUCCAAAGGCAGCUCCUAAAGGUUUCCCUUCCGGUGCAACAAGACCAUGGUCGCCCGCCGGCAGGACGGACGUCAUCCAUGUGCUCACCUAUGUGGCGCUGGCAGCGGCUUUGCAGGCGAAGACCAAUUUUGGCAGGGGAAGCAUGUUCCCUUGUAUCCCACCAAAACUGGCCGUUGUGGGAUCCCUUCCCGCCUAUGAUAAGGGAAGAGGACCCUGGCUUCCACUAUAAAUAGAGAGGGUAGAACACUUGGCAGGGGGAUCAGAUCAAAAAAACCCUAGAAAAACACACCUAGCCAUUUGGCCUCCGGAGGCCCGAGAGCACUGUACUAGUUCAUCCAUCAACUACCGUGAGAGGCAAUCCACUAAAAGGAGUAGAGUUUUAUGCUUCGCAGCGGCCCGAACCUGGGUAAACUACUGUGCUUUGUGUUCCCCUCACCUUCGAGUGAGUUCUUCGAUGUUUCCAUCGAGUAGCGGGCCAGGUUAGGUCGAGCAGAGAGAGAUCACCGUACACGCCCCUAUGUUCGAAUCCUUAGGGUUUUGCGGAGCACGAAAUCCGACAUUUGGCGCGCCAGGUAGGGGGCGUGUCUAGGUCUCCCCCAAAGUUCGGCUCACCGAAACUAACCGCGUCCAUGGCGGGGAAACGACGAGUCUGCGCGGAGAGACCUGCUGCCCGCGUGUGGAGACGGUGUGGGCAGGCCACGAUGCCGAGCUGCCCCCAUCCACCCCGACGGCCAUGCUGGACAGACUUCAGGAGAUCGCCGGGGUUUGCCAUCUUCACCAACCGUCAGUAUCCCCGCGUCGCCCCGACUCUUCGGCACGUCCCGCUGGCCCCUCCCCUCAUCCGAGCUUGACAACACCCGAUGCACAGGCAUGUCACGCUGCUGGUGGCAUAUGAGCUCAAGCGCCAGGGCACCGCACGUCAUCACAGCGUCAGAGGUCACACAUGCCACCUUGGGCUCUCCGCUGCCGGCGAAGCCCGACAUCAUCCCCGCGCGAGCCGUGUCCGUCAGCCCGCACCGUUGGGACUUGCAAUAGAAGGACCGCGCGGGCGCACCUCAAACCUCCAUCAGGACUCGCCCCCACAGGGGAUCAAGCGGGGGCAGAUGGGGGUGCAAGCUCGGCUUCUCUUGGAUGGCGUCAUCCAGCAUUCCCCGACACGCUUCACUGAGCAGGGAGAGAAUUCCAGAGGCCCGACAACAUCAACCCUCGGGGGCUCAUGUGGGAUGACAACAACCAUACCGGCACACCUACACACCAUGGAGGAGACCACGUGGGACAUCACUACACUAGGAGGCACGAGCUCGACCCCACGGACUGCCCCCGCACGAACAUGUAUGAACAACGCUAUGGGCGUGAUCCAAGGGGUGGCUCCGCGAGGGUGCCCAACGCGGGUACGCUCGUGGGGCACACUUGCUAGCUAGGAGCUUCCUUAGGCAGGUGUGUGGGUUUGGGGAUCGAGGACCUCUCGCCUUGGACAGGGUGGACGCACCCUCAUGUCCAAGUCGAGGGGCCCGAGCAUGGGGACGGAUGGUGGAACAUACGCCCAUGUUCCUAGGCCAGACGAACCCAACCUGGGGUCCGGGGUGGUAUUCCCGCUCCCGCCCCCAGGGCGUGCGACGCUCACUUGGGAACAGAAGGUGGAACAUACGCCCAUGUCACCGGUGCAGGCUUCGUUCGGUUCCCAAAAGGUGUUCGAAUACCCAUCACUGCCCUAAGGCUGGGCCAGACCAGCCUGGGGGCGCGACCUAGGGUGUCAGCCAGGGAACCCAGGGGCCCCAGCGAGGCGCGCUGGGGCAUCUCCCCGGGGAUCCUGCACCCACCACCUGGGCGAGUCUUCCGGCCGGAGGGUUUAGAGGGCUCCCUCCAUGCUCGGGGACUCGCUCAGGGCGGGCCACGCUACGCCGCUACAAGCCUGGGGAUCGCGAGCGGGGCGCACACCCAUGGGGCCUGGAGCCCUCAAAGCAUCCCCGGGCCCCGCAUCAACCCGUAGCACCUCGGCGCAGCCUCGCGACGCCACACCGCCUCCACUACAUCGACUCUGCAUCGUCCUUCAAUUCUUCCGGAACCUACUUCAUCCCGUGACACUCUCACAUAAUAACGAGCCAAGGCUGUACAUGCCCAAGGCCCCCCGAGUAUGUGGAAGGGGUCCACACCACGCCUAGUGGAGAAGACAAAGGAAUCAACACAGUCCCCCAAUGACUUCCGAAAUUAGGCGCCUAAUGCCUCGGGGGUAGGGACACUCGCGAGGCCAGAGCGUCCUCGUGACCUCCCAUAUACACCCCCACCGUGACACUCUCACGUAAUAACAAGCUGAGGCUGUAUACGCCCAGGCCCCCCCAAGGACGCGGAAGGGGUCCACACCACGCCUAGUGAAAGCCCUAUGCUCAAUGCUGGGGGAAGACGGAGGCGGUGAAUAGCUAGGAUGCCGGACGCGGUUUCUUCUCGUUUCUUCAUUGCGUUUUAAGUUGAGGCCCUCUAAGGAUUUCCCCUUUCUGCUGUAUCCUGAGCUGUCAAGGGCUUGCGGGUUUCCAUGCUUGACGUUUUGAAAAGAAAAGAAGGGUGAUGAUUUCGUUUUUUAUGUUCUCUCGUUUCAUUGGACUCGUGUUCCCUUUUCCCCUUUGCUUUGAUUGAUAUUUCGCGGGAACCUCGGGGGUCUUUGGUUCUCCCGAGGCAAUCGCAAAAAGGGGCGGAAUGCGGAAUCGCUCGAGCGCCAGAAAGGAGGCUCUUGGGUCCUACCUCAGGAGCCUUACCGGUCGUAAUGCCACUCGCCACUAUCGGCGAUGACCUGGUCAGCGCCGGGAGUGGAGAGGCCCCGCCCAGAGAAGCGCGAGCUCCACGGUGGCAGCGAUAUGGGCAGGACUAGGGCAUGACGAUGCUGAGCAGCUUGAGUGUCAAAGGGGGCUCCUGAGUAGUACGCCUCAGGGGCCUCACUGGUCACAAUACCACCCGCCCCCCAGGGCGCCGGGGCUUUGCCCCGUGAGCAGCAACCUUGGUAACUGGUUGCACAACACGGCGGCACGGAAAUGUGCAGGACCAGGACCUGCAGACACAGAGUGACGAAAGGGUCUUCAAACGUCCCCAAAAGAAGGAAGGAGACAUGCGGACGAGCCCACGAUUGCAGGACAAAUCAUUAGCAUUGCAACAUCUCACGCUGGCGACAGUCGUGUCUAGAAUAGAAGCGCCACACGUACUUCGACACCAGGAAACACGUUAAAAGGUACCCACCAGACACGACCUAACUGAUGUUAAACUUAACACAUGAACCUAUCGGGAGUACAUUGUUGUGGAUCCUGAGGGCAAGUCUUCAUCGGAGCCCAUGCCAUGGCCCUCUGGAGAAAUCCUUGCCACCAGGUCUUCUACGUGAACCUCGACCCACUCAGCCAAGGUGGCGAGGAUCGUCUUUGGCACCGGGUCCAGCACCGAAGCAAAGUCGAAAUCAUGGUCGAGGCAAAGAAGGUGACUAAAGACGUCCGAGCCAGCCUGACCCAAAAGGUCGCGACUCUUCUCCUCCGCGAGCGCAAAGGCCUUCUCGGCACUCGCCUAGAGACACCCCACGAAGUGGUAGAAAAAGCCCGAGUACCUGGAGUCAUCACGAAUCAGGGGAUCGUAGACGCCUUCUCCGCAGAUGUUGCCUAGGGCGCGGGAAGCCCUCGGCUCAAGGGACCGGAACAUCCCGGAGCGUUCAAGUUGGAGGCUGCGAGCGGGGGUGGCCUCUUCGGAAGCCUCUCCAACCAUGGAAGACGCGCCUUUCACUUGUUUGCAGAUGUUAGACAGCUUACCCUCGGCAAUGGCCUGUGCGUACAGCGCGACCUAUCAGCUUUCCAUUUCCCGAUUCAACCUCCUCCGGAGGGCACGUGCCUCAUUUUGAGGCGGUCUCGGCGCUUGAGGAAGCAGGACUCCUAGAGCCUCAACUUCACGUGAUAAUAAAGGAGAAGGGAACGUCGACCCUCCGCCACCCUCCUGUCUAUCUCGUACUGAAGCUUCGCUUCACAAGAGGCAAGGGACUCCUCGGCAAGCGGGAACACGUGCUCUCGUGUCUCUAGACGCUCCUUAUCCAAGCACUUCUCCACUUCCGCAAGCACCAGCGAGUCGGUAGAUGCUCGAGGAUCAACAAGGAAGGACUCCGCCGGCGGCCCCCCCUGGGGAACCAUCGGUGGAGCUUGCGCUUCGAGACGAGCGGUGAGGGCGCAUAGCUCCUUGUGGCGGUCCUAGGAGGCCCUGCGUCAACAAUCAGCAUCGAGAGCCUCGGCGAAGGCGCACUCGCGGGCUUCUACCGCCACAGCAAGGGAUGCCUCUGCCUCUGCCUCUGCGUGAGCGCGCUUCCGUUGCAGACGGCUGAGGUUCACGGCAACUUCAAGCUGGCACCACCCCGACGCAAGGUACUAGCGUUCACCUUCCCGGCGGGCCUCAUGACUAGCAAGCCCCGCCCCCAGAUGUUGAAGCGCAUCCGCAGUGAUGCAGAGCAAGCCCGAGGGUGCGGCGGGCGAACCCGCAAUAGGCUUUACAGGGAGGUGGGGGUCCCCACCUCUCGAAGAGCGAAUAGGAGAACCGCCCAAGGCGUCACCUGACCCAAGUCCGUGCUCGGGGGCUGGGGGCUCCCCUAUGGCCGUUUCGUAAAUGUUGUAGGGGUCCAUGGGGAAGGUGCAGUAUGACCCUGGGAGGUGCCACGGGUGAGGGGAAAGGCAUCCCCUCGAAGAACUGAAGGCCUCAAACGAAGAAGAUCGCAGGGGGUUCACGCGUAUGAGGCUCCGGAGACCGGGCUCCAUGGAGUGCGAGGGAAGAAGUCGCGGGACGCCCAACGGCCUCCGGAGCAGGCGACGCUGAUCCCCCCUGGCCCUUGAACGGACACCUGAGGAACAGAGGCUUAGAAGAUAGGUGCGUAAAGGAGGACAAGGAGGGAGACAUGCGCUUACUCGUCAAUGGCCAUCCACUUCUUCCUCGCCGGAGCCCCACGAGCCGUGAGCAAGCCGCCCUUGGACGACUUCCUCUUCGGGCUGGCGGGGGUGCCCUGGCGGAGGAACUCGGCAGCUCUCGAGCGAGGCUCAGUAGUGGGGCAAUGCUUUCCAUUGUCGACCAAUCGUCACCACCGACCCCGGCUCGACGCGAAGCGAGAGCUGGGGGGCGGGCGCCGGUGCGUCGCCCACCAUGAUCCCGGAGGAAACCACACAAUCAGGGUCUUCGCGGGGCUGAACCCUAGGGGGCGCGGCCUCCGGGAAACGUUUUACCCCUCAGGGAGGAGCCCCAAUUCGUCGAAGAGUGGCAUCUCCGCGGUGAGAGCUUCCAAGGCCUUGAAGCGGUAUAGCGGCUGGCCGUCCAGUGGGAGCUCGUCAGGAUUGCCGCCGGUCAACCGGCGAAGCAGCCCCCGUAGGACAUCAGGGGAAAAGGGGGUGACUUGAGUCCACAUCGAGUCGCUGGGCCCUCCAUAAGCCCACAUGGGGCGGGAGUGGCGUUGAAGGGGAGCUAUCCGCCGACAGAUGAACUCGCGCACCACCAUCACCAUCGACACCCCCGCACGCCGCAGUUGUCCCAGCCGAAUCAAGAUCGACGCGAGCUGGGGGUCGCUGAGCUCUUCGCGCACCCACCCCCGGUUCGGCAUCGCCGGGGAUGAAGGAGGUUGGAACAGAGCUUCGGUCCCGGCAGCCUCAAUCUGCACCCAUUGCCGCGAGAACCCUUCCACCUCCGGGAGGAGCUCGACGCAUGGGAUCCCAAGGGCUGUUGCAUCAUCAAUUUUGAAGGAUGCACACCUAGAGCACUUCAUCUCGGAGACCAACUCAAGAGAGAAGAAGUGGCGGAGCAAUGCCACGGAAGGAGUAACACCGACAAAAGCCUCGCACAAGAACGCGAAGGCAGAGAGGAGGAUCAAAGAGCAGGGGUCGAGGUGGAGCGCGUGGAUCUGGUAGUAUGAAAGCACUGUUUCAAGGAAACCCGAGAAUGGCUGCAGCACACGUGAAAGGAGGGCAUGUAAAUGGAGAGGAACCGCGGGACACACCCUCUCCCCCCGAGGCCAUGAGCCCAGCCGGAUCUAGGUGGCCCCCCAUUCAUUGGAGUUGGCGGCAACUACUAGCCAAACCUUGUCCAACACCUCGAGGUUCACCACCGCAGACCGCUCCAGCGCGAUCCGGUGCACCACCGGGACAAGUGGGCCCCGCGAGCCCCUACCUUUUCGCCCUUUCUGAGGCAUGACCGAGAGAACAAGGCAAAGACGACACGACACACAUGGAUCAGAAGGAAGAACCAGCGGCGGAAUUGAUAGGGGGCGGAGACGGGCGACAUAUUCAUGUCAGGAGAUGUAGUGCAAAUAGGAUCGGCUCUCCAUUUUAAAGGCCUGAACCACAGGCAAAUGGGGCCCGUGGCGUUUCAUGCCGCCUCCAAGGCUUCACCGAGAAGCCAACCCACGCACGUCUUGGGCCCGGGGGCUACUGUCGGCGUUCUCGGAAACGGGGUACCCACACCUGCCUGCCUGCAUCCCAGGGCGGGCCCAGCUCAUCGACACGUGGACGACUCGAACAGCACCUCCCGGAACAAGGCCCUCGCGAGGGGCCAAGCCUCGUGAGGAGGAGCAGCGCCAAGACCCGCGGGGACGUCCUUAGGACCCGUCCUGAGCAGCAGACAUUCCGAGGCAGGGCCGGGCCUCAGGAUUCAAGGGUGAGGACAGGAAAGGACAUGCGAGCAGCAAAUGGCAGGCUGGGGCAGUUUCCCCUUUAGUGCAAAGAAGGUGGAAGUGAAUCUGGACUCCAAAGGCAUCUCCUAAAGGUUUCCCUUCUAGUGCAACAAGACCAUGGUCGCCCGUCGACAGGACGGACGUCAUCCCUGUGCUCACCUCUACGGCGCUGGCAGCGUCUUUGCAGGCAAGGACCACUUUUGGCAUGGGAAGCAUGUUCCCUUGUCUCCUACCGAAACUGGCUAUCGGUGCACUAAAGACUGGGGUCCCUAGUGCCCCAGACUUCUGCACGGGCGCAAAGAGCCCUUGUCGGCAGGGCAUGACAGGACCCAGUCAAGAUGCAACCCCCAUGAUUAUCAAGGCCUCGACAAGCCUGCCUUGCCGGGAAGAUGACCAAGGCCACGCCCAUUUGGUGGGCGUGAUUAACUCAGCAAGUACAAGACAUCGGCAAGGUCCCUUGCCGGGAUGACGACCGAAGCCCCCGGCAAGGUCCCUCGCCGAGACGAAGACCCAAGGCCCCGACGAGCUCCUUGCUGGGAUGACGGGGCUGGCCACUGGUGGGCAGCCGCCCUUGCCACAAUGCAACCGCCCCCAAGUUCCAGCGCAUUCCGCAUGCGCCAGCGUAGCGUCUAGGUGUCGUGACACCCGGAUACGUGUCUUCACCAGCACAUCAUAGACAAGGACAAGACGUGCAUUAAAUGCACCUGCCAGCGGUAGAUGAAUAAGCACUGCCAUAGGUUCACUUUAACUCCUCGUGAACCUACCACCCAGCACUGUAGGUGACCCCUUGGCCUAUAAAAGGAGGCCCUUAGCUCAUUCUCAAGGGGUUAGACUCUUUGGACAUUGACCCAUAAGGCGAUCAUCAACAGUCACUGUAACGAUCAAUAACAAAACACUUAAUACAACCAGACAAGCAGGACGUAGGGUUUUACGUGCAAGCGGCCCGAACCUGAGUAAAAAGGCUUGCCAGGUGCUGAUUGUUAGCUCUGCUCUUUACGUCACCUCUCCCCACCCUACGGUCACAAGGGUUUCACAUUGAUUCCCAUAGGUGUUGACCUCGCAUCUGCCGACAUCUUUGGCGCGCCAGGUAGGGGGUGUGGAGUUGUGCGCGAAUCAGAGCAAACUCAGCACCAGAUUCUUCGAAGUUUGGGCGCUGCGCCGUGGUUCCCCCGGAAACUGGGUACCGCGGCGGGUGCUCUGUUAUGCUACGUCUUCCCAAGGCCUGCGCGAGCGCGGGGCAGGGAGGCGGAGGUUCCAAAGGCGGUGCCGUCAGGACGAUGCGUCGCUCGGGGCCAACACGCAGCUGUCGAGUGCGUACCUAGGAGCUUCACACAGACCUCGGUGCAUACUCUGGCGGACGCACAUCUGCGGAAUGAUGCAUAGUCAUUGAGGAUGCGCCAAACGGUCCCGAAGCCCAGGCGCGCACUCCAACGUAAGCGUUGUGCCCCUGAGAGCGUCGCAUCGUCGCCCAAGAUGCGCCCGGGGUCUCCGCAAGCAAAGCCUAGCAAGAGAAAAGUAAAUGGGUUACAACCUGGCCAGCUUUUUCUCCAAACGACAGUCGCGGACUGUCGGCAAGAAGUAUUUGCCGGAGAAAAAGCUAUCGGGAGUGGUAAUUUUCUGCUUGCCGAGGGCCCCAACACCCCGGCGAAAGAUUCAAGCGCCAUGCCACCACGACAUGAGUAGAUAAGUUUGAAGUUUAAGAUUCAGAUCUGAAGUAGAUAGAUUCUCUAUUUUUCCCUUUGAAAGUUUCCAAUCUUUGUGUGUGGAGUGUGUGCAUACUGGGACCUUUCCAAAGAUUAGUGCACCUUGUCUUUGUUUCGAACUCGUUCAAAUGACUUGAACGGCCACAGAGCACCCUCAAACUGUUUCGAACCUGAUCAACGGAGCAAGCGGCUACGUAGCGCCUGAUUCCGUCUCAAGCUGCGCUUGGCAAUUUCUAUGGUUGCACGGAACGCGUCAAGGAGCCUUGCCGGUAGUUGACGACAAGCUCCCAGAGAAUGCAAACGCGAAUCAUACAAAGAAUAGAAUCGGAAAAAGGAAAAACAGUCUUUUCAUUCAUUUGUUUGGGAUACUCUCGAACAUAUUACAUGGAUGAUAUGAUCUACUCUAACCUAGAACUAUUGUCCUUGGUGAGGAACUACGCUCGCCGGACUGGAGUUCAGGAAGACAUGGAGCGGCCCUCCAUGCGAUCCUGGCUGGUUCCUUCGGGACCAGCACCGCGCGGAGGAGAAUGAGGCCGGGAGAGAUGGAGGAGCACAAGUCUAGGCGCUGACGGGAAGAUGAGGCAGCUCCGGUCGGUCCAGCACGGGCGGGAGCAAGCGGCGGACUGACUGUGAUGGUAUGGCGGGCGGUUAGCCCGAGGACGGGUCCUCAUAUGCAGACAAUGUCUGGCGGGGGCCCGACCCGCUUCCGCUGUGGGCACCUUUCCUCCCUUCCUCGUCACUCCCACAUGAGGAAGGCUUUCAGUCCCGCUCGAGCUCUCUUCGCAGCAGCCGAGACGUGCACCUGAGCGCUUAAUGGAGAGCAUGUUAUCCGCUAACUUCUUGAAGCGGAGAACGUGCGUGUCCCAGAGGCUGCAGGCGCGGGCGAAGCUUUUCCUCCCGCAGCCAAGGAACAGGGUCCGAGGCCCAGUAUGCUCCGCGACCACCGGCAUGGCGCCAUUGCCGCAACCAUGCAUGCGAAGCCACAGGGUCGAGGACCCCUCUCCUUCCGUUUCCUCGACGAAGACACCAGGGAGUCGGAGGCGGGACCGGAUUGGUGCUUGUAACUGGAUGAGGAACUCCAUCGGGUUCCUUCCGAUGUGGACCGCCUCAGGAGCAUGCCCCGGGGUAGGCGGAGGCGCUAGAGUAGCGCUCCGCCUCCCCCGGCCUCGACCUCCACGGAUACCGCGGCCCCUCGCCCUUCCUCUGCCAUGGGCGCUCGGGCUGUCUUCCGCCGCAGCGCCCCAGAAGCUGUGGCAUGAUCCGAACGGGAUCCUCUCACCGCCCUAGCGGCCGACUGUGGCCGACCACGUCCCCUAACCAUGGUUAGGGGCGAGGACCACCUACAGACAGAAGAAGACUCUGAAGACCAAGGCUGAUGAUUUUGUGGAUUGAGAAGCAGUUGGGAGAGCAAAACCCCUCGCAAACCCUCCUAAUUUAUAGGAUGGAGCGCAGGGGCUAGCCUCCCUUGCUCCAUAAGCCACCACUCCUCUCGCCCAAUCGCUCGUGCUCACGGGCGAACACAGAACUGCCCUGCUGCACCAACGCAUGCACGGGCGAGCCCAGCCACUACUACGCCUUUUAAGGCCACGUCUGCCACCUGUCCAUCCACAACUGCGCAUGCCACGGGCGUGGCAGAGGCAUUUCAGGAGGUGGAAAGGCCACUCCGCGCACGACCUCCCACUUCGCACAUCCCAUGCGUGGCGUGGGGAAAAGCAACCGCCAACGGAUCCAACCACGGAGUACCAUGCACCUCUUUGGGCCUGGCCCAACAACGCUUCGCAUGCGUGUGUGGCCGAGGCCCGGGGGCUCUUAUCGGUGCACUAAAGACUGGGGUCCCUAGUGCCCCAGACUUGUACACGGGCGCAAAGAGCCCCUGCCGGCAGGGCAUGGCAGGACCCAGUCAAGAUGCAACCCCCAUGAUUAUCAAGGCCCCGACAAGCCUGCCUUGCCGGGAAGAUGACCAAGGCCACACCCAUUUGGUGGGCGUGAUGAACUCACCAAGUACAAGACCUCGACAAGUUCCCUUGCCAGGAUGAGGAUUGAAGCCCCCGACAAGCUUCCUUGUCGGGACGAAGACCCAAGGCUCCGGCAAGCUCCUUGCAGGGAUGACGGGGUUGGCCACUAGCGGGAAGCCGCCCUUGCCAUAGUGCCACCGCCCCCAAGUUCCAGCGCAUUCCGCAUGCGCCAGCAUAGCGUCCGGGUGUCAAGACACCCGGAUACGUGUCUUCACCAGCACAUCGUAGACAAGGACAAGGCGUGCAUUAAAUGCACAUGACAGCGGUAGAUGGAUAAGCACCGCCCUAGGUUCAUUGUAACUCCUCAUGAACCUACCACCGAGCAGUGUAGGUGACCCCUUUGCCUAUAAAAGGAGGCCCUUAGCUCAUUCUCAAGAGGUUAGACUCUUUGGACAUUGACCCAUAAGGUGAUCAUGAACGGUCACUGUAACGAUCAACAACGAAACGAUUAAUACAAUCAGACAAGCAGGACGUAGGGUUUUACGUGUAAGCGGCCCGAACCUGGGUAAAAAGGCUUGCCGGGUACUGAUUGUUAGCUCUGCUCUUCACGUCACGUCUCCCCGCCCUAUGAUCACAAGUCGUUCACGUUGAUUACCAUAGGUGUCGACCUCGCAUCCGCCGACACUGGCCGUUGGGGGAUCCCUUCGCGCCUACGAUAAGGGAAGAGGACCCUGGCGUCCACUUAUCCAGCGCACUCGUGUCUUGUGAGUCACUGACAGUGCGUUCGUCGGGCCCACAAGUACGGUUUGACCAGUCACCUGCGCCUUCUUCCUCCUCUAGUGUGCGGAGGCGGGGCUCCGGUGAUCGUUGCCAGCGAUUGGCAACUCUUGGGUUUCUUCCGAGGGCGGGAAUGGUAUCCCCGCAAGCUACGAGUCUUCUUGGAGGUUGAAAGGUCUGCGAAGACGGAGAGGGUCACCGGUGGCGACCUCCUAGGCGGAUGGCAGUUGCUGGAGUAAUAGGCAUUCGUCUUACGGUGGCUCCCAAUCGCGUCUGAGUGGUGGGAUGGCUUCGUGGGGUCAGGGUGGUUCAACCGAAGGGGAGAACCGCGCAUGAUUAACCAUGCUCUCCUCGAAUUUAACCUUGGAGGGAGCGAGCGAACUCUGACCGGAGGUGAGGAAGAUGGCCUCCCUCGGUCGAUUGGUUGCUAGGGGAGCUUGAGAGGGGUCAGAGAGGUUCUUCUGAGGGUCUGGGCGAGCUCGGGGUCCUAUUUAUAGAGUGGGCGAGGUCGAUUCCUUGCGGCACUCGAUAAGAACGACGACUGCUGUAGGGGCGACGUGGCGGUCGGCUGGCAGGGACCUGGUGCUAGCAGUCAAGUUUGUGGACGAGGUCGAGCUGAUCCAAGGGCAGCUAGUACACGGAUGUGGCUUGGGAGGUGCUGCCAUCACCGCGGCAGGUGCUGCUGGCAUUAGCGGCUAGCAUGGCUCCAGUGGCUGAGGCACGUAGCAAGGAGGGGGUUUGCAGCGCUAGCGAGGGGAGGCUGCAGGCUACCACUGUGAGGGGUCACUGGAUCAGUGCACGUGGGCACGACUACUCCCUGUACAACACGUGCAAAUAGAGCGCUCAGGGCGUGCUUUGGGUAUGCACAGUAGGUGUUCGACCAAAUGCCGAUGCAUGCCAUAGGAGUCCACUGCCUAUGGAACGUCACACGACUAGGUUUGAGAGCUAAAGGGGUUUGAGGGACAUGCUGGUUUGCCUAUUGGAACAAUCCCAUAGAGCAAACUAAAACCAUGCCAAAUGUUGCGAGGCACACAAGGUGCUCCACAGAAUGCCAUGGGCAUCUAGAUGGCUUUGCUGGUCAACAAAUUCCCAGGUUGAUGUCUCUUUGGAAGCUAAGAAUUAUGGCAUGGUAAGUUUUUGAAAAGCAGAAACUUGUUAGUGCAUUAAUUUGAGAAAAGAAUUUUUGGGCAGAAACUUCACGACGUUAAAACAUGGGCUUAAACAAUGCCACUCGAGUUGAUGUCUUGGACUUAAGGUUUUGGUAAGGCCUACUAUCAGCAGUAAAAAUCUGAAGAGAAUUGGGGCAAGAUAAAACAUGGUUGUAGUACAAACUGCAAAACUGGUCCAAAAUAGAAAAGGGGUUGGGGUGCUCAAAAUUUUCGAAAGACCAAAGUGGAUUUUUGCAUAAAAGUGGCCUACACACCCCCUUGACAUUUCCUAUUUUUUGUAGAAUUGUAGAAAGAGUAGAUCCAAUGGUUGUAGUUCAAAACACCAACUGGACUAGAAUGGAAAAGCGAUUGUUUUGCUAAAAUUUUCCAAAACACAUAGUGGGGUUUUUGCUUGAAAGUGAUCCAGGGAUAUCACAUGUCACCUACAUAUUUUUGUAGAAAUUUAAAUGAAGUUAUCAAAUAGUUGCAGUGCAAAUGAGUUCUUUAAAGGAAUCAAAAACUAUUUUUGAAAAAAAUGAAACCUCGAAAACUAUUUAUAAAAAAAUAUCCAGUGGAUCUGUCAAAUGCAAGGGAAAUGUUUUGAGGCAAGCACACUAGUGUCACCAUAUUUUUCAAAAACUCCUACUUGGGGAAGGAAAUUUUAUAAUCCAGAGAAAAGAAGUGGGUCUGAACUCAACAGAAAACCCAUAAUAUUUUUUUGAAUAAACAUGGUGAAAUUUAAAUAAAUAAAAUCAUGGUUAAAUUAUUGGGGUGUUACAGGUCCCAAAGAGACGUUCCUGGGCUUCCCCAGGCCCGCGAGCCGAGCAAAUCAUACCGCGGACGUGCGAUGGGUUCGCUUCAUCUCACAUGGGGAAUUGGCGCAUGACGGGGCACGGGGCCCCUCCGUCUAAGAGUCGAGCGCCACAAGUGGUGCAUGACGGGGCGCGGGGCGCUCCCACUUCCCCAUGACACUUUUACAACCGUCCGGUGCUGACAUAAAGCCUGCACGUGGAGUGCUGGGCCAUCAUUGCCCCCAUUAAACUUCCGCCCGCUGAAUGCAGGCAAGGAGGCGCAGGCUGAACACCCACUUGGAUGCUCCAUAUAAGGAAUAGGGAAAGGGUCUCCUACCCCAACUUCCUAAUCCUUGCUCUUCGUUCUUUCUUGUUGUCGCCGCACUGAUGGCAUGAGUGAAGAGAUCCUAUAGCAUCGAGAAGGAGAUAGAAGUGAAGGGGGGAGCGGGCACACCGCGGCCGGCGAGGGGAAGAGGUCGCCCCCGCGUUCUCAGUGCCGUGCUUGGGGCACAUCUCAGGGGACGCGGGAGCUCCCCUCCGGCGGCUUGUGCCGGCCCGAGAAACCAUGGGAGGGGUUCUAUUUGCGGGCGUGGGCUUGGCAGACGAGGCCACCGCGGAUGAGGCGGCCACGGACAAGGCGGCCACGGAUGAGGCCAGCGGUACGACACAGGCACCCAGCCUGCCAGGUCGUGAAGUCGCUCCGCCGAUGCGGCCCGCGAGUUCAUCGUACGGAUGGAGGGCAAGCCUCGCACCUCGCUCAAUCUCCCAGACUAUUUCACGGAGGAGAUGGAGGAGUACGUGCCCCUAGGCCUGUGGAUGCAGCCAGACGACUGCUGCAACGAGCCUACCUGGGGGGCGUUGGAGUUUAAAUUUCUCAGCUUCAUGUUCUUGGGGCGUGGGUCGAAGUCGUUCACACUCGCCCAGGGGUUGCAGGAUGGGCACGUCCCGACUUCAAGUUCGACGGGGCCGCCACACUCUUCAUGAAGACCUUCGGGGAGCGCUGGUGGUCACCUCAACUGCUGAAUGCAAGGCGACAGCAGCGGCAAUGGCAUCCCUUACGACACUGAUGGCAACAACAGGUCCUCCUGCGGGGGGGAGCGGGGGGGGGGGGGGACGACGACUCCGAUGGUUUCCCGAGCGCCUGCGUCAAGGAGGAGGGAUCUUACUAAGCACGCGCGACGUCAGUGUUGAGGCACGUGGCGGCGGCGCUUCUGGAGCCCGAUCUUCCUUCUCUUGCAUCAUCUUCCCUUUCUUGUAAUGCAACAUGCUGGCCCCGUGGGGCGUGUAAAAAGAGUUAUGGCCCCGAGCAUGGGUAUGAGGGCUCCUGAGGCACGGUGCAUAAGGGCUCACCUUCAGCGUGCGAGCGGAUCACGCAACAGGUUGCUUCUUGUGGAGCCCAUCUUGUGAGGCCCUUUGAGGGAAGCCCUACGGAGAAAACGCCUUGUUCCCAACGGUACGCGCUUGGCCGCUAGAAUUUGGGCAUCACACGAGAAGCAUAGGACCCAAGGGACUUGAUGAGGUGACAUGCACGUGGGCGUGCCCACGGGCCAGAACACCGUUCUCUAGGUUCCCAACACCACUCGGGCAGACCCAGGCGAAGAUAUCGUGCCAAGCCCCCGCGACCAUGAGGCCCAAGGUAAAGCCAGUGGGCGCGUAUCGCGGGGGGAAACCUGCGACUACUCAACUAAGGGCUUUCCACCCUAAAGUAGUGCGGCCCCAUGGGGCAUUCUUCGUCUUCUUCUCCCGAGCGCGAUGCAUGGGGCUUACACUUGGAGUGGGCAUGGUAAGACAAGAGAAAACUAACAAAACUCCACGAAAACUAGAAGACCAAGACCCUCAUUAAAACUCAAGGAAAACUUGUUUACAAGCCCAAAAAGGGGAGGUGUGGCUGCCGUGCCGAGCACGAGUCAGCGUGAUGAGGUUGUUCAGAAGUCAAAGAAAGAAAGGAAGAAAAGCGAUUCCAUAUCCAGCAUGGGUCAAGCUAGAAAGAAAUGUGGCUGCCGUAUCCAACAUGGGUCACCCUAAAAGAAGCGCGAUUGCCGUGUCCAGCACGGGUCAGCCUAGGUUAGUUGCGGCCCGUGGCAUGUCUUUUUUUAUCGUUCCCAAGGCGCAAUGCAAGGGGCUUACACUAGGGUGUGGGCUUAGUCGCGGUUCGAUAGUCAUUCCGCCAACACGGAGCAUAGUGACUUCCACUUGGGCGUGGGCGGGUGCCCUCCAUCGAGGCCAUGACACGGCUCGUCGCGAGCUUCCACUUAGGAGGCUCCAGGCAUACACAACCCACUCAUUUUUACGUGAGAGUGUCAAGGGCGAUGAUGAUUGGGCGUAUACCCCACGCCCAAGGCACAAGAGUGCCUAUACCGGUCUUUAGGUGCUUCCAUGCGUUUCGCGUGGGAGUGAGCAUAUUGCCGCAGUGCUCCUGUGGCUCAAACAUGAGCGGCAUCGCGCCCCACGUGGCCACCUUAGCGCGUCGUUAGGCGAGUUGUUACGGGACAAAGCAUAGCACCUGCCCCGCAGUAGCGCAAGCCAAGCCUCAUUCCCUCCAUCUGCCCGCGACGGUUUUCCGGGAGGGCGUGACACUAUGGACCUUGGCGAGUAACUAGCACGGGAAGCCAGCCCGUGAGACAGAGCUCGAUCACUUAGAUUUCUUGGUGCUGCGAGGACAAGUCCUCACACAAACGCCAUGUCUAACCCCCAACAUGGAACCAUCACAGGGCCAUUGUAGGGGCGCACAAGCCCCCGAUAGCGGAGAGACACCACAGUUUAAGCUUUAGACAAAUGAUAGCGUCUCAAGUGAAGGUUAAUCAAGCUUGUUACAUAUCCAAGAAACACCCGCUUGGGGCGAUGCAAAAUACACGGAAUAGGUUGAUUCAAAAAAUCCAAAAAGUCACGUGAUGGCCAGGCUGCCGCGGGCGCGUUAGGCUGCUUGAUGUCACUAGUAGCAGGGGUCUACAUCACUAGUGGGGGUCGUGGGCUCUUGAGGCUUCACAAGCCCAUGGGGUCCCGACGCUUCGUGAGGCGUAAAUGGUGCACACCUCUUGCAGCUUGUUGAUUUCCUAAGCAGUGAAAUUGUGUGGCCUUGGCGCUUGGCGCCAUGCUCUCGGCUCAUGAGGGCGCAUGCUAGGGUGCGCCUCCAUGAUGUCCCCGGGAGCCCCCUCGUCACACCAACCAAGUCAAGCCGCUCCAGGCGGGAGCCAUGGAGGCCGGCCUGACGAGGGUGCUCGACGCGACCUCCUAUGCUGGAGGGAGGUGCACGCUAACUUGCGGCGCGAGGCCCGUGAUACCAGCAUCUUCUUUGACACCGUUUCCCCCGGUGGCCGUGCUCACGAUGGUAGGGCGCCGUCAUCCCGGGGGCACGUGCCAUGAGACCACCCGUGUCGAGCAUCUUCUUGAGGCAGAGUGCUUCCCCUGUCGCCACGGGGUUGGUUGCGCCGGCCUUUAUGAGGGUUGUCCCCGGGGCACCCCCUUCGCCGCUCCUAUGGUCGCAUUCUCACUAGUCAACGUGGCUCCAACACCGGAUGGUUCGCUCACUGCGGGAAGACCCGAUUGCCCGGCAGUCCUCCAUGUUGUGAGUGCGUGCAUUGUAGUGGGCAUAGAAUAUCCCACCGAUUCUUUUGGGCGCGCUGCCGCAGUGGCCUGGUAGCACCCCAGUGCCGGUCACCAAGAACCAGAGGUGCAGGAGAAACGAUGCGAGGUGGCCCUGUCUUGGGCCCCUCUGUCUGUGGACCGAGCGAGUCACCGCGUGGCGGUGAAGGCGGCUCGCUAGCCAAGCCCCCUACUUCGGGCACCCGGGGCCGAAGGGGGACGUACGGUGCACGAGCCUCCUAGUGACGGUGAUGAGCUCGAUAAUGUGACCCCCGCAGCCCCGCGCUCCGGGCGCACGUGGCGAGCACCGGCCACGGGGUUGGUGAUGAUGGGCGUGAAACUAGAGCUGAAGAGCGGCUGCGCACCCUUACCUGCCACGCCAAAUGUCAGAAUUGUGGCUCCGCAAAUCCAAGAAAAGGUUCGAACUCUGGGGUGCGCUCGCUCUCCUACCAUGUUCUACCUCUCGACUUCAAGAUGACUCGUCGGUGGCAUGUGCUAAGGGAAGCGAACGUGGUAGUUUACCCAGGUUCGGGCCACCUUGUGGUGGAAAACCUUACUCCUUCUUGGAUAUAUAGAUUGCUCGAGGUGGAAGACGAGUAGAAAAGUGGGUUCUUGCCCUAUUUCAACACACUAGACCUUGGAUCCCCCACUACGGAGACCGAGCCUCUGUUUUAUACUGGCCUUGGUCCUCUUCCCCAAAAACAUAGUUUGGCGGGAAGGGUAGUCACGACGCCCAUUUUGAAAGGGGAUAGGACUCCGGCUCACCCUCACAAAGGUGGUCUUUGCGUGCAAAAGCACUUCUUCGUGAUACGCUGGUGUGCUCGGGGGUGACCUCCAUCCUGCUGAGCCCCCAGCCUUAGUCCUCUUUCACCGAUCAGGAAACCUUUGGGGGGUUGCUUUGGAAACCUGCAGCUGGUUUGGCUCCCUUAACACCAAAGGGGAAACCUCUUUGUUUGUGCCCGCUGGCACCGACCUUGGUACCGUGCAGCGUGGCUCACGUCAUCCAUGUAGGAGGCUAAACCAUGCAACCUCGAUAGACCGCCCUCAGUUAGUCCGCUCCUCGGGUGGAGGAGCGUCAGGAGGAGCCUUCUUCCCAUGAUCCUCGCGGGGAACAUCCUGGGGAGCACCCUACAAUCGGCCCCUCGGAAGGAGGGGCCCUCACGAGGGCCGAACCCUCAGGGCCCACAGCGUGCACUGGGCCCUUGGGUUGUAGGCAAGUGGGCCUUGGGUCCCUCAGUCCCAGAGCCUUGACAAUAGGCAAUUGAAUAGAAUGUCGCAUGCUUGAGUGUUGUAUUGUAGUAUCUUCAAUUCUUCCUCUAUCGCUUCACGAUCCGGUUCCCUUCCAUCACCAAAGAUUUCACCGUACAAACCAACAUGAAAAAUAGCCUAAAUGAUGGGCUUAUGACCAAGAAUAUGCAUUUUCAUUUUAUGCUUCCAACUAGCAAAGUUUGUACCAUUGGAAAAAGGACCUCUACGGUGAUAGUUUCCCUCAUAGACGCUAAACUCUCCUAGUUUGUGAAAACAAUGCUGUCGGUGUUCUAGGAAUAGGGGUAUCCAGACCUGCCUGCCUGUGACCCAGGGCUGUCCCACUUAGUCAAGCAAGCACAAUCGGGCACGGCACCACUCAAGGCAAGGUCCUCGUGAGGGGCCAAGCCUCGCGAGGGGGGAGCAACAUGAAGACCCGCAUGGGGCCUCGCCAGGACCGCUCCGGAGAGGCACAUAUUCCUAGGCGAGACCCGACCUAAGUAGGCAAGGAUGACGUGGAGGAAGGACACGCGAGCAAUAGACAACAGGACGAUGCAGUUUCCCCUUUAGUGCAAAGGGAGCAAGGACCAACGCGGGUUCCCAAGACAUCCUCCAAAGGUUUCCAUUCUGGAGCAACAAGGCCACCACCGCCCGCCAGCUGGACGGAUGUCAUCCCUAGACCCGUCGCUGCAGCACUGGCAGCCACUUUCCACGCGAAGACUACUUUUGGAUAUGGGAAGCAUGGUCCCCUGCCCCCUUGAAAAUUGGCCUUUGUGGGAUCCCUUCCCAUUGAAACGAUAAGGUAAGACUACCAGGGCCGCCACUAUAUAUAUAGAGAGUAGGUUACUUCAUAGGGGAUUCAUUCAUUCGCCCAUCUGCACCACACAAAGGCCACCUAGCCUCCGGAGGCCCUCAAACACUGUACUAGUUCAUCCACCAACCUCCACGAGGGGCCAUCCACCAAAGCAGGAGUACGGUAUUACGCUUCUUGGUGGCCCGAACCUGGGCAAACUGUCAUGUUCUGUGUCUUCCUUACCAUCGAGUGAGUUAUGUGCCAUCCCCAGCGAGUAGCGAGUUAGGUGAGGCGAGCCCGCGAGAGAUCUUUGUACACGCCCCAGAGUUCGAAUCUUUACGGUUUUGCGGAGCCCAAAAUCCGACAAAUGCAACGGAAACCAAAACCUUGAUACCAGUUGCAGGAUCCAAAUUAUGUCUACAGGGGGUGGGGUGAUUAGACUACUUGACCAAAUAAAAACUUUGCAUUUUCCCAAUUUAAGAUGUGGUCCAGUUUUAGCAGUUUUAACUAGUUAAGCACACCCUACACAUGCAUAUAUAAGAGUACUAGAGCGAAAAAUAAUGACAUGCAAAUGUAAGUAGAGGGUAGGGAAAGGAAGAUCGAACGCAAGGGUCGACAUGGCGUUUUUGGCGUGGUUCCGAUAGGUUGUGCUAUCGUACGUCCACGUUAGUGGAGACUUCAACCCACGGAGGGUAACAACUGCGAGAGUCCAUGGAGGCCUGCCCCCACAAGGGGUCGACGAUGAAGCGUCCUUGUCUAUUCCACCAUGGCAUACGUGCACACAUGACUAGCCUCAGUCGUGGUAGAUCUUCACGAAGUAGGCGAUCUCCUUGCCCACACAAACUUGUUGGUCUAACUCCACAAUAGAAAGUAGGAGGCUCCCAAGUGACACCUAACCAAUCUAGAAGGCACCAACCUCCGAAAAGGUAAUAGAUGCGGUAGAACGAUGAACUCCUUGUUCUUGUGCUUCAAAAGAUAGUGUCCUCAAAUCUCAAUCAUACUCUUGCAGAUUUGGCAUGGGUAGAAGAGAUUGAUUGGGUGGAAAGCAACUUGGGGCGGCUAGGGAACAAGUUGCAAAUGGGUGGAUUGGAAUAUCAUGAUCUGAACAGAUGAGUAGGCGGCUCUCUCUUAGAAAAACGAAUAUGGCAAGUGUAUGUGUCUUUUGAGUGCUUCGUCUACGAAUGAGAGGUGGUGGCUGGGUAUAUAUAGGCAUCUCCUAAAAUCCAACCGUUACAACAUUAUUGCCCAACUCGGGGAAAACUAAAUGAAUCUCGGUGGCACCGAUUUGCACAAAAUGUGGCAACUUUUGACUUCUCGAUGGUACUAAUAGGGUGAUCUAGGGUAGUUUCCAAAUCUCAGUGAGACCGAUUGAAGACUCGGAAAUUCCGAUUCUUGAAAAGGACACACCAGAACGUUGGUCACUGAUUUUCGGUGGCAUCGAAUUGAACGUUGGUGGUACUGAGAUUAUAGGGUUUGGCAUAGGUUUUGUCUCUAGGAAUCGGUAGGGCGGAGUGAAAAAUAUUGGUGGCACCGAUUUUGAUGUUUAGGCUUUUGGACAAAAAACAUUGUGGGAGAAUGGCUGAGUAUUUUUGGUGGCUAUAUCUAAGCACUUGAGCAACCAAUUCAUCAUCGAUACCUCGCCCCUGUUUAAUAGUAUUGGCUAUCUCUAAGCACUUGUAGCUUGAAGCUUGGUCAAUCCUAUUCCUUUCCUUGCAUCAAGGGGUUUCUCCUCACAAUCCUUAGCCAAUGCAUCUUUGAACUUAUUGAGACAUACUUGGAUAUAAUCAUUAGUUCAAUGACAUAUAUGUCGUUAUAAACUACCAAAACCACCUUAGGGACCAAUUGUGCUUUCAGGGUGCGACAAGCAGCACUUUGACACCGACGUCUUGCAGCAAAAAUCCCCAUCAAAGUACAAGAUCCAGUGUUGAAGUGUUGCGUUGCUGUGAAGGGUGUAUUCUAUGUUUUAUUAAACUGAUUGUGGUGUCCAUUCAGCAAUGAACUCCGCCAGGCAUCUUCUGUUUAUGAUCGUCGUGCUUCCAAAACCCAGUUCAAAGCUAGCCAGGUCUAGAGUCCACUCAACAAUUCUACCAGUUGUUUCCUGGUUCCUAAGGAUACACUACAGCGGGAUGCUGGUGCCGAUGGUAAUGUGGUGCGCUUGGAAGUAGUGGCACAGCUUCCGCGAGGCCAUGAGAAGGCAGAAGAGCAGUUUCUGUAUCCCAUAGUACCUUGACCUAGCCCCCUACAAGAUAGAGUUGACAAAGUAUACUGGCCAUUGCACCACCUUCUUUCUUUGCACAACCUGCUCUCCUGCCUCUUACGCCUGUCGUGGAAACGAACACCUACGGGACCGCAAGGAUCCCUUUACGGUUCAACGAGGAGAGAGGAUUACACCAAGAGCAGAACCAAUGAUCAACGCGAGGGGGAUUUUUACCCAGGUUUAGGCCGCUGAGAAGUGUAAUACCCUACUCCCGCUUUAGGUGUAUUCGGUGUUCUAGGGCUCUCGUUACAGGAGCACUAUGCAGUGCAUAGUAGCUACAUACUGAGAGUCGAAAAAUCCUAGAGCUGUGAGUCUAAAAACUUGAUCCGAUGCCCCUAUCGCUAUGCCUUGGGCCUUCUUUUAUAGGUCAAAGGGGUCACCAACAGUGGAGAACAGUGCACACAUGGGGUGCACAGUCUAUAGUGUUUAUUGUUGUCUUAAGACAAAUGCAGUAAACAUGGCACACAUAGGGUGCAUAGUUUACUGGUGUCUUAAGACAGACACAUUUAAUGCUUUGUCAGGCGUCCCUGACCCUCUGCGACACGGGACAUGGAUGCGUCCCAUCAGCACAUCUCAACCCCCACAAGUGCUCGACACGUAUCCAAGAGGAUCGACGGGUGGCUGUUGCGCUGGAGCGGUGGCAGGUUGGCAGGAUCUUGUCGGGGCUUCUCUAGCUACCCCCGCAAGGAUCUUGCCGGGAUCCCAGCCUUUGGUCUUCUGUCUUCUUUGUAUUUCCCUUCAACAGUCCCCCGACAGGCCUUCCCGCAAGUGUGGCUACAAUUGCCCAUGCACAAAUAAGGGGUACUAAAGGCCCAAACUAUAGUACACCGAUAGGAUCCCCCGGGCCUAGGCCAUACAUGGACGCGGGGCAUUGUUGGGAUAGGCCCAAACAGUGCGUGGGCAUGCGUGGCAGGAUUUAGCGGCGCUAAUCAUUUAUGUUACCAUGACUGCGCCCCUUCUCCCCCACGACUCGCAUUGAAUGGGUGACGUGGGAGACAUGCGCGGAGCGGCCGAAAUGAUCACGUGUGUGUAGAGGUGUUUUUUGGUGUGCCAAGAGGCGACCCCGCAUCCUACCCAUAAAGAGGAAACCAAAGAGGCACUUGCUCAUUACCUCCUUCCCUUUCCAAUCUCGGAACCACCGUCUUCUUCUUCCUCGAGCGCGAGAUAGAGCCUCCCUAUCCAUCCGUCGCUCCCAAUCCCCCACCAUCGUCGUCCUAUGCUCCCAUCGUCGCCAUGCUGCCUAAGGCAAGCAAGGGCAAGGAGGGAAAGGGUGUCGUCAUGGAGAACGAGCUGGUGAAGAUGCGAAGAAGCUUGUUGUCUUCCCCCCAUGGCUUGAUGCAACAACUGUGAGGGAUUGGUAUCUGUUCAUGUGGGCGAGGGAGACGAAGGCCCACCCCACUACCCACGUGAAUCCAGGUUUUGCCAGUGGUGGCUUGGACAAAUACCCUUUCUUUGCAGACUAUUUUUAAUGUGGUCUUUGUCUCCCUUUCUCCAAUUUCUUCGUCAACAUCAUGUACACCUAUGGCUUCCAGUUCUUGGAUUUUACGCUGAAUGCGGUUACAUGCAUGUGUGUCUUCGCCCACCUUUGCAAGAAUUUUGCCGGAGUCGCCCCCAACACAGCCCUCUUCCGCCAUUACUUCAUCCCCCGUAUUCAAAAGGGGGAUGCCCUUUCUAGUUCUAUUUUCUGUAUUACAAGGGGAUGGAACAAGGAAAUUUACCCAGAACGGGUCUUACGCGAGAAGUGUGAAAAAUGGCGGGGAAAGUGGUGCUAGAUUCGGGAGGAGGAGUCCUAGCCUUUCUGCUUGCCCUAGACAACAAAGAUGACGCGCAACAACUACUGGAGAGCUUUCGAUCCUCAAGAUGAGAAGCUUACCAUCGCCAUUACCAGAAUCAUGCGCCUCAAGUAUGCUAGGCUCUAAGUAGAGAUGGUGGGCACCGAUUUCCUUCGCUGGUGCAUCGCCCCUGUGCAGAACAAAGGGAGGCCAGCUCGGGAUUUCAAGAAUGCGACAGAUAUCAUGAGUGUGCGCCAUGGGCUGAAGAGCAACCUAACGGUCCUGCAACACAUAGCCCUCUGCCACAAGUUGUUCAUGACUAACGGGAAGUUCAAGCUGCCAGCAUGAAUAGUUCCCCUGUGCAACAAAUCUGUAGUGAGCUCAAUCGUCGCCAUGAUGCUGUCGUGUAACGCCCAUGGCCUCGACAACACUUGGGAUGAGCCAGCCGCCGAGUAGGUACAACAGUUUGUUGAUAACUUGUUAGAGAAACCCAUCCGAGAAGAUACGAACCUGGUCCACCCCACCAUUAAUGAAGAAAUGGCGUACAUCGCCAACAGGGUCGAGGAGGAGAGACUUACCGCAGAGGCCGGUAGCAUUGGCUUCAUGGGAGGAGAAUCCAGCGAAGAUGAAAUGGUGUCGAAGGGAACACUUGCCCGGCCGGACGAGGUUGCCGGGGAGCACAGUUCCGCAGCUGUCGGGGGUCCUUAUGCCGAAGAUACAACUGAGGAGCAGCCGCACGAGGAGCCCCCAACUCCCAAGAAGAAGCGUGUUCUUCGGAAACCACCUCCAGCGCCCCGGACCAGCAACCUUCCGCUCCUGCCAUAGCCAAGCGUCCCAGGGAUACUCCUCCACCUCCUCACGUGGACACUGUGGUGGAAGUCAACUUAAACCUCUCCGCCUUUAGCUCGGAAGAAGAAGACUAAGAGCCCUGUCGUGUCUUUCAGCUUCUGAAUUUAUGGCUUCGCUUAGUUUGCUUCUCUUGAUUCGGCCUGUCCCGCAGAGAUACGAAACGUUGGCGCAGAGGAUGGUGAAGAAGGCGAAGACCUCGAUGGGCGAUGAGCCCUCAGCAUGCACCACAGGUGCGCUAUAAGCAACUUCCAUCAACCCAGAGCUCAGCCCACGAUGAAGUCCUCAAUGCAGCCACCAACGUGGGUCCAUUACUCCUUUCCCACUCGUGAGUGUUGGGGUGCUUCUCUUUGCCACUAACAUCGUCGGUCUUGUAGGAGAAGAUUGGCGGCAAGGAGAGCCAUCAGAGGCUGCCCCUGACGCGCCACCUCCAUCAACCGCGCUGCCCGGAGACGGAUCUCCGAUAAGGGCUUUUGCUAGCAAACUCAUCCUUGUUGAGGAUGACUCGGCAAGCGCACGGGCCGGUAGUCCUACAUUGGCUACCGAUGUUGUCGGGAAAGGAGCAGCAACCUCUGAACAACUUGGUACAGGUAACCCGGUUGCCCAAGAGUACUUAUUAUUCUGUCUCUGUGUCGAUUUUUGUCUUCUUGAACUUCUAUCUUGGUCUCAUCUUGUUCCCCUUCUUUUGGUUUCCAGAUCCCCCUCUGAUAGAACACAUGGAUGUCGACGCCAUCAUCCAGGAGAUUGCCAUGGAUGCUGCCUCCAAGGCCGAAAACGUUGCUGCUGAUGAGGCCGCCAAGGGUGCACAUGAGGAGACCGCCAAGGGGUUCAUGGAGAGGGCCGACAAGGAGCCCAAUGACCGUAUUGACGGCAUUCCUGCCGCAGGAGCGCUAGGCGCUAUGCUGGCCACAAAUACCUUGUUUAUCGGUGGGGUGGAUGUUGAGGAUCAGCCGUCAGCAUCUGAAGCCCCCUCUCCUAGCAGAUACCUCGAAGCUGGCGAGAAUCUGUUCAUCGACAUGUGAGGAGUGGCAAGUGCUAGGGCGCCCAUUGAAGGAGAAACCCUUGAUGAUGAGAUCACCACUGCUGCCGGGCUCAAGAUAGUUGGUAAACCAAGAGCUGGCGACAACAAAUCCAAGGAAGAACAACUCCUCCAAGCCAUGAGCAACAACUUCCAGCAGCUCCAGGCGCUCCAUCGUGGCCGAAAAGAGAAGCUGGACUUUAGGGCAGCGGUUGUUGAAGCAAUGGAGGUGGACUUCCAGAAGCGUGUUAGGGAAAUGCAAGCCUGGUUCGCCGAAGCCCUCCAGGAGAUGCAAUCUGGUCGGGAAUAGUUGAACAAAUACCGAAAUGAGCUCCUCUUGAAGCAGUCUGACAUCCAGCAGGCGCAAGAGGAGGCCUCACAACGGGUUGUAGUAGAGGAAGCCCACCUAACGCAGCUCGGCGUCGGGCUUGAUGCUCAGGAAGAGGAUCUUGCCGCCCGAGAGAAGGCGCUCCCCGAAAAGCUUCGCAACAAGGAUGAAGAACUCGAGAGACUCAUCGCGCAGCGGAUUCGGGAGUUGGAGUAGAAGCAUGAGGAAAUCCUUGUGCUCAAGCAAUAGACCAUGCCGGCAAGUUGAGGGAAGCCAUUGAUGUCGACGUUGCUGCAGAGGCCGCCAAGAAUGAGUUUGCCGACAAGGUAAAGAGGAUGGAGGUGGAUCUUGAAGGUCUCAGCAAGGAGAUCUCGAUGGUCAUGGUCGAAAGGGAGGAGACUCUCUUAAGCUUGGCGGAGAUGUAGAUCGUCGUAUCCGACAAGACCGCACAACUCAACUCAGCCAACCUCCAUCAUUGAUCUAAAGCUGAAGUUGGCCAGAUUGGAAGAGACCCCUAAGAAUGGAAAGGCUCAUGAGAGGGCCUUGACCAAAGAUUUCCAAGAUGAGAAGGCUCUAUUUGAGAAUGUCGUCGUUGCUCAUGACAAAUAUGUAGGAGGCGUGAGGGUCUGGACUGAAUGCCUUGCCGAUGUCGCGGGAAGGGACACGACGUAGCUGUCCACCAUAGGACUGCACAACUUCCGCUAUUCUUCCGAUGCAGGGACAUCCUAGAGAGCCAGGUUAACUCUGUUCUUCGAUAACCUGGUUGAUGAUCUGGAGCGGCUCCACUCUUGUCAAGCAGCCCAUCUGGCCAACGAAUCCCGCAAGAUCUGUCAGACCGUCCUCCUCAAGGUGCUCACCAAAGUGGCGGACAAGAAUCCAGGCACCAAUCUCACCAAUGUGCUUGAACGCUUGCCGAAGGACGUGGACCUUAAGGCGCUUGAGGAGCUGGUCAUGCCCAUCGUCUACAAGGUGAGCCAAGUCAAGAGGGUUGAAGGCCAGCGUAAGGACUAGCCGCUCCACUUGUUUUUGCCGCUGUGAUUCCAUGUAAAAGAAAAUUUUAUCUUAAGUUAGAAUCACGGCAACUAUUAAUGUGAUAUACUUGGUUGUGCUUUGAAUGGAUGUAUGGUAUUUCUCUUGUGUGAUUUCCUCCCGUAUUGUCCAUGCCCUAUGCUUUAAUGGAAACUUGCCGGUGCGCACAACCUUGCUGCGCGCGCUUCGAGGAACGAAUCCUUAGCAACCUGCUAGAGGCAUCGCUGCCAGCAAUAUACCUUCGCACAAUCAAACUUCUCGGUGCACACAACCCUGUCGCGAGCACUUUGAGGAACGGAUCCUUAGCAGCCUUCUGGAGGUGCCGCUACCGACUAGAUAUCUUGUCGCAAUCAGUUGUUGAGCGGGCUCGAAACAAAGUAAGGGCGCAACCGAUCAUGACGAGGUUCCUUCAUGUGUAGGUUUUCAAACAAAAGUCAAAAUCGUCCAAGGAAAAUAACUUUACAGUUCAAAAUUUACUCAGAGUUUUUGCAACUUAAUUUUUUGUUGCUGCACUCCUUUCUGUUGAACAGAACAUCGCGUGACCAUCGUCUGUUGGUGUCCAUACAUCAUCCCCCCGGCAAACUUGUAUGCGAGGGAACCUUCAAUCCUUUGAGAAAAAGAAAGAAGAGAAAAUAGGGAUAUGCAAUCUUGGCAGUUCGUUAGUACUUGUUGGAAAUAAGCGUAACACAAAAUACCAGACAAUCAUGCACAUAAACAUGAAAAGCGACAAGAAUUGUGAAGCACUUAACUUUAUUUAACCAAGCACAAGGUCUGCGCCUCGUUUUGUACAAAGGAUUACAUGCCUUGCCGGCAAGACUUGAACAAAAGGUUGUUUCUGGGAGGCCCGACAACCGCGCCUUAUGGAUAAAACUUACAAAGAUGCUCGAUAUUCUAGGAGUUGAUCACGAGAACGCCAUCUUCGAUCUCCAGGCGGACUUCUCCAGGCCUGGUGACUCGUACCACCUGAUAAGAGCCUUCCCACUUUGGCGUCGACUUGUUGAAAUUCUAGGCCAACUGAACGUGUCGAAGAACAAGGUCGCCUUCCUCAAGACUUCGGGAUUGAACCUUGUGGCUAUGGUAGUGGCGCAAGGCUUGCUGGUAGCGUGUAGCUUGCACAGCAGCCCGAAGACGAUGUCCUCAAGGAGCGUAGUGUCAUCUUGCCGCAACUGCUCUUGCUCAAGCUCAUCGUAGGCAAGCACUCGAAGUGACCUGUAUAUGAGUUCAGUGGGGAGAACUGCCUCUGCCCCAUACACUAGGGAGAAGGGUGUCUGGCCGGUGGCUCCACUUGAUGUCAUUUUGAUUGACCAAAGAAUCGCCGGCAGGUCAUUAAUCUAGCGUCUUCCACACUUGCGCAAGUUGUCGAAAGUUCUUGUCUUGAGGCCUCGCAACACUUCAACAUUUGCCCUUUCCGCCUGGCCGUUGUUCCUUGGAUGGGCAAUAGAAGAAAAACAGAUCUUGCCACCAAGGUCUUAGACAUACUGCAUGAAGGUGCGGCUCGUGAACUGCGUGCCAUUGUCAGUGAUGAUCUUGUUUGGAACACCAAAGCGACAAACUAGUCCCUUGAAGAACUUGACGGCUGGUUGUGCUUUCACCUUCCUCACUAGUUCUACUUCCAGCCAAUUUGUAAACUUCUAGAUUACAAUGUACAAGUACUCAAAGACCCCGGCAGUGCAGGGGAAGGGCCCAAAAUUUCGAGCCCCCAGACCGAAAAUGGCCAGGAGAAAGGGAUUGUGUGAAGAGCUUGGGCUAGUUGAUGCACUUUCUUUGAAUGGAAAUGGCAUGCUUCACAAUUGGUUACUUGCACCGUUGCAUCCUGGAGGGAGGUGGGAUAAAAGAAACCUUGUCGGAUUACCUUACGAACAAGAGCUCUUGAACCUAUGUGGGAGCCACAUAUGCCUCCAUGUAUCUCUGCCAACGACCCUAGCCCAUCUUCCUAAGGAAUGCACUUCAAUUUCACACCAUUCGGUCACUUUUCGUACAGGGCAUUGUCCACAAACUUGUACAUAUUUGAUCGAUGGGCUACUUUCUCUGCUUCUUCCCGCUCUUCUGGGAGCUCCCCUGUUUGGAGGAAGUGAACAAUGUGUUGUGCACAUGCUAGAUCCUGCGGGAGCAUUCGUCUCUACGGCAAGGACUCGAGGUCCUGCCUGAGCUUGUUGCUCCCCGAUAGGCUUUUUUUUCCGGCAACUUCUUUGCCGACAUGGUUCUUGUCGGCAACUUCUGGCAGCUCCGCAGGAAAGUACUGUCCGGAUUCAAUUUCCUUUUCUUAUCUGUCCUUGCUGGUGGUUCCACGGAUGGUUGAGUCAGUGGGAGCACAACAAUCCAUGGUUCCACAGGUAUCUUGAGGGCAACACACUUUGAGAGUUCAUCAGCAAUGCUAUUUUCUGCACGAGGAACAUGCUCUGUUUGCAGACCAUCGAAGCGCUCCUCCAACUUCCUCACUUCAUCUACGUAGGCUUCCAUCAACGGGCUAUGGUAAUCUUUGUUGACUUGCCAGACGACAAGCUAAGAAUUGCCUCUGAUGAUGAGUUUAUUGAAUCCGGGGUCUGCCGCGAUCCUGAGACCAGCAAGCAGCCCUUCGUACACUGCAAUGUUGUUUGUUGACUUCUCCCAGGGAAAACACAUCUGGAUUACGUAUUUGACGUGCUCUCCGGUGGGUGCGAGAAGCAGCACGCUAGCAUCGGCGCCUUGCAGCGAGAAAGCUCCAUCAAAAUAAAUAAUCCAUUCUUGACUCAUUUGUUUGCCGAGGAGAAUCGUUUCAUGAAUCUCUCCGUCUGGCAUCGGGCUCCGUUCUGAAAUGAACUCUGCCAAGGCUCUGGUCUGAAUGGUUGAAGUGCUUUCAAACUUGAGACCAAAGCUUGACAGUUCCAACGCCCACUCGACAACCCUGCCGGUCGCAUUUGGAUUUCAUAAAACCUGUUGCAGCGGAAAGCGAGUGACGACAAUGAUCUCAUCUAGCCGGAAGUAAUGGCGCAACUUCCUCGAGACCAUAAGGAGGCCAAAGAGCAACUUCUGCACGCCAGAGUAUCUUGACCUAGCCCCCUGCAAAAGGGAGCUCACAAAAUAGAUUGGGCGCUGCACCAUCUUCUUCUUCGGUAUUGCAUCAUCUGGUUGUGCUGAUUCCCCCUUGCCAGCUGCAGACUCUGCUAGAGGAAAUGCGGGCUUGCCGCUUGACGGUCCUACGCUCCAGCAUGCUACCUCUACCACUUCUUAUUCACCAUGUUGUCUCUGCACCACUAAUGCUGCACUAAUCACUUGAUUUGUUGCUGCCAAGUAUAGCAACAACGGCUCUUGUGGUUUAGGUGCGACUAGUGUUGGCGGAGAGGAGAGGUACCUCUUCAAAUCAUCCAGCGCUGCCUUCACCUAUGGACUCCACUUCAUUGGACCUGCCUUUUUCAACAUUUUGAAAAAGGGCAGGGCGCGCUCAGUAGAUUUGGAGAUGAACCUACUCAGAGAAGCAAUGCAGCCGGUAAGGCGACGCACAUCUUUGAUGCGUUUUGGUGCUUCAAUCUACUCAAUUGCCUUGAUCUUGUCGGGGUUCACCUCAAUCCCACGCUGAGACACAAAGAACCUAAGAAGCUUGCCGGACGGGACAACAAACAUCCACUUCUCAGGAUCGAGCUUCAAGUUGAUCUUGCACAGAUUUGCAAAUGUCUCUUCUAGAUCUUGUAUGAGCAUUGCUAUGUCCUUGGUUUUGACCACUAUGUCAUCGAUAUAAACUUCCAUAUUUCUAUGUAGCUGGGGCUCAAAACCAAUCUGGAUCGCUCUUGCAAAUAUUGAACCGACAUUUUUCUAUCUAAAAGGCAUACAUAUGAAGCAGGACGUGCCACAUAGAGUGACAAACGUGGUCUUCUCUUCGUCUUCCUUGGUCAUGAAGAUCUGAUGAUACCCGGAAUAGGCAUCAAGGAAUGACAUGAGAUCACAGCCGGUAGUGGAGUCCACAAUCUGGUCGAUGCGCGGCAAGGGAGAUGGUUCCUUAGGAUAGGCUUUAUUGACAUAUGUAAAGUCAACAUAGAGCCUCCAUUUUCCAUCUGCCUUGCGCACUACAACUAGAUUGGCCAACCAUGUUGGAUGGAUCACUCCUCUAACCAAACCUGAUGCCUCCGACUUCUUGAUUUCCUCGACAAUAAAUUCUUUCCGCUCCAAGGCUUGCUUCCUGACCUUUUGCUUGAUGGGCCGCGCAUGAGGGCACACAUCAAGAUGGUGCUCAAUCACCUUCCUGGGAUCACUAGGGAUAUCAGAUGGUCGCCAUGCAAACACAUCGACAUUCGCCUGCAGGAAGGUAUUGAGCGCGCUUACCUAUUUGCCAUCGAGGGUGGAACUUAUGAUUAAAGUUCCUCCCGUACCAUCCUCCUUGGUGAGCACCUUCUUGGUCUCUGGUAGAGUUGUCUUCAAUGUCCUUCUCUUGCCGGUGGAGCACUCUGGCACAUCAUCAAUAGCAGUGCAGCACUCCAGGAGGUGCGCUUGCCGGAGUGCGUGCAANCAUCUUCAACGUAUUGUAUGCAUAAUGCGAUGCCGGCAUGAACUUGGCCAGUGCUGGAGGGCCAAGGAUCCCAUUAUAUGGCAAUGGAAUCUUGGCGACGUCGAAGACAAUCUUCUCUGUCCUGUAGUUCAUAUUGCUACCAAAUGUUACUCGUAGCACAAUCUUUCUCUUCGGCUUGGUCCUCCCUGGAUUGAUUCCCAGAAACGUUCUCAUUUCCUCAAGAUCCUCAUUAGGAAUUUACAGCCUCUUGAACACAUCGGGUGAGCUCAAGUUCAAACCGGCCCCACCAUCAACUAACAUUGUUUCACCUUGAGGUUGCGAAUCCUUGGUGAAACCAACAACGGCAGACACCCGACCGCAGUUGUGCAAUCAGGGUGAUCCUCAGCGUAAAAAAUGAUAGGUAUGUGGGACAACUUCGAUGGUUUGCGGGCACCGACAGAUGGCUCUGCCGCAUUAACUUCACAGGCCCAUUGUUUAAGAUGUUGGUGGGAUGAAUGCAACGAGGCACCCCCGUCAAUGCACAUCAUGUCUGUAGCCUUCUGGUAUUCGUGGUCGCUGCACUCGUCGUCCUCCUGGCUACCAUCAUCCUCAUCUCCCUAUUCCUUGUCGCGGCCUCGAGCGGGCCUCUCCUUCUGUUGCUUCUCUUUGCCGGGACGACCACCUCGGCCAGUGGGUUUCUUGCCGUACCCCUCAGCACCAUCCUAGGCCUUCUCCUUAUCUCACUUUUCAUACUCAGCCUUCUGCUUCUCGGCAAGAUGCUCAACUUGUGGGCACUUUUGGAGAUCGUGGCCCUUGGUGCAAUGGAUCUUUCAAUACUGUUUGCCGGAGCCCUCCGGCUUGUCGGCAGCCACCAAGGCUUGACAGGGGACAUAGCCGACAAUGUCCUUGCCGGGGGCAUCAACCUUGUCCUUCUUAGUGGUGUCGACAUUGCCGGAUCCCUCGACAGUAAACAAGGCCUUGCCCUUGCGCUUCUUGUUACACCGUCGGCUUUUCUUUGCCGGGGCGUCGGUGUCUUCGUCUUCAGAAUCGACUCCUAUGCUGGCAUCUUCGUCGGGGAGCCUCCUUCCUUCUUCAGCCAGAGCAUAAAGCUCGGCAACAUCCCUGACCUUAUUCAUCGCCAGCUCUUCGCACAUCUUCUGAUUGCGCAUGUUCUGAAGGAAUACGCUGAUAACAACGACAUGAUGAAUGUCUGGGAUGUUGUACUGUAUGCGGCUGAAUCUCUGUAUGAACUUGCGCAAGGUCUCGCCCUCCAUCUGGGGGAUGAGGUGCAAGUCACUUUCUUGGCGAGGAGCUCGGUGGCCACCGGUAAAGGCGCCAACAAAGUCAUGGCACAAAUCUGCCCAAGAAGAAAUGGAGUUCUUCGGUAGAUGCAUCAACCACGACCUUACGUUGGGCUUAAGCACCAACGGGAAGUAGUUGGUGAGUAUCUUGUCGUCGCGAGCCCCGGCAGCCCACACCGCAAUGGUGUAGAUGCGUAGGAACUUUGACGUGUGUGUCUUGACAUCAUAUUUCUCCAAGACCUCUGGUUUGAACGUCCAGGAACUGGGCCUGGACUCGCCAUACCUCACGAGUAAACGCUGGGCAACCCAGCUCGUAAGGUAGGUCGCUAGGAUACCCUGGCGCAGGCUCGUCGACAGUGGGCCUUGAGCGCUUAUCAGAUUGAUGGUGCGCUUCCCGCCGCCACUCAAUGGUUGUCCGGACGUCUUUUUUGUGUCGUUCUUGGAGAACUUAACGCUGAUCAUGGUGGGUCCACGGGUUAGACGACCCCGUCAAAUUGUCAAAGACGGCGAUCCACUGGGUCGGCGACCGCUGCCUCCGCCGUGGAGGAGAGUGCACCAUGGUCGUGGUGGCUCUAGCCUUCUCGCCAUUAUCGCGUGCUGGCUUAGUGGACUGCUGUUUCGAAGGGUCCGCUUGCCGUGGCACACCGCCAUUACCGAGGCCGAUGAGACUCUGAAUGGUAGCUCUCCAUUAUUCGAGCUUCUCCGCCACGUGAGGAAAGUCCAGGAGCAUCUGUGCUCGUGCCAACACUUCUGCCGGUGUAGGCUGCGGGGAGAGGUGCAUGCAACGUGAGGUGCUCUUACUCCUCACUGUGUUCGAAGGAUCUCCAUCAUGGUCCCGUGAUCGCACACCGCUUCCACCAGCUUCUUGACGUGCAUGUUGGCCCUCCACAUCUUGAGGGUGAUGCUCACAGGUCUUCCCUGGGGAUGCUUGGAACCGUCGGCGUCGUGGGCGUCCUGGGGAGGCCGUGGUGUAUGUGACGGCAUGGGUGCCUUAGAAGGCACCUUUCUGUCUUCGGAGUUUGCCACGCCUCCCAUAGGCCGCACAGCUAUGUCCUUAGACCCAGCGGCGCACGGGCAAUUGCUGUGGCUGCGAACAAUGCCGCUCGCUUGGGUUUGAUCACCAGAAUGUCGUGGAGGUUCGUGACCUCCGCCUCCUCUGCCCACGCCCAUACUGUCGCCUGUUUGUGCAGUCACAGGCACACUGGGUGCGGGUGCAUCAGCCGCCAUUGCACCCCUCUUCUUGGGAGCCAUGGCGAUGAAGAUGAUGAAGAAUCUGACGCGUUGAUUGCUAGGUCGGGUUAGCACAACCUCUCCCCCCUACACGGCGCGCCAAAGAUGUCGUGGAAAUGAACACCUAUGGGACCGCAAGGAUCCAUUUACGGUUCGGGGGGAGAGAGGAUUGCAGCAGGAGAAGAACCAACGAUCAACAUGAGGAUAUGUUUACCUAGGUUUGAGCCGCUGAGAAGCAUAAUAUCCUACUCAUAUUUUAGAUGUAUUAUGUGUUCUAGGGCUCUGGCUACAGGAGCGCUAUGCGGUGCACAUCAGCUACGUACUUACAGUCUAAAAACCCUAGAGCUGAGAGUCUAAAAACUGGAUCUAAUGCCCCUACCGCUAUGCCUUGGGCCUCCUUUUAUAGGUUAAAGGGUCCACCAACAGUGGAGAAAAGUGCACAUACGGGGUGCACAGUCUAUAGUGUUUGCUGGUGUCUUAAGACAAAGUAGUAAACAGGGCACACAUUGAGUGCAUAGUUUACUGGCGUCUUAAGACAAAUGCAUUAAAUGCUUUGUCAGGUGUCCCUGACCCUCUAUGACACGGGACAGGGACGCGUCCCAUCGGCACUGCUCAACCCCCACCAAUGCUGGACAUGUAUCAAGGAGGAUCGACAGCUGGCUGUUGUGCUGGAGCGGUGGCAGGUUGGCGGGAUCUUGUCGUUGCACGUCUUGCCGGGGCUUCGGCAGCUACCCCGGCAAGGAUCUUGCCGGGAUUCCAGCCUUCGGUCUUCUGUCUCCUCUGUAUUUUCCUUCGGUCUUCUGUCUUUUUUGUAUUUGCCUUCAGUAGUCCCCCGGUAGGCCUUGUCGCGGGUUUGGCUACAACUGCCUGUGCACAAGUAAGGGGUACUAAAGGCCCAAAUUUUAGUACACCGACACACUGCAUCCUUGUUGUCUGCUCCUUGGCUUGCUGGGGAUAACCUAGGUUUCCCGUUUGCUAGUUUAGGGUUGUUCCCUCGUCUUCCUCAUCUUCCCACUCUGCCAUUAGUGUAGUGCUAACCACUUGGUUUGUCGCUGCCAGAUAUAGCAACAAUGGCUCCUCUCGUUUUGGCGCGACUAAGAUUGGCGAAGAGGAUAUGUAUUCCUUGAAAUUCCGCAAUGUAGCCUCCACUUUCGGGGUCCACUUCAUGGGACCUGUAUUCUUCAAGAUCUGGAAGAACGACAAGGCAUGCUCCACGUAUUUGAAAAUAAACCUGCUUAGGGCAGCGAUGCAGCCCGUCAAGCGGCGUACGUCCUUGACGUGCUAUGGAGCUUCCAACUGGUCAAUUGCUUCAUUCUCAACGAGGUUGGCUUCUAUCCCAUGGUGUGGCACAAAGAACCUGAGGAGCUUGCCGGAUGAGACUCCGAACACGCACUUCUCAGGGUUGAGCUUCAAGUUGAUCUUACACAAAUUUGCAAAGGUUUCUUCAAAGUCUUGAACCAGCGUGGCCUCGUCCUUGGUCUUGACCAUGAUGUCAUCCAUAUAGGCUUCCACAUUUCUGUGUAGCUAUGGACCGAGGCCAAUAUGGACAGCCCUCGCAAAAGUUUAUCCAACACUCCUCGGUCCAAAUGGCAUGCACUUAAAACAGUAUGUGCCACAAGGAGUGAUGAACGUUGUUUUCUCUUCAUCUUCCAUGGCCAUGAAAAUCUGGUGACAACCGGAGUAGGCUUCAAGGAAGGACAAUCGGUUGCAGCCGACGGUCGAGUCCACUAUCUUGUUGAUGCGCGGCAAGGCGAAGGUGUCCUCUGGAAAAGGCUUAUUGACAUCAGUGAAAUCGAUGCAAUGUCUCCACUUCCCAUAUGCCUUGCACACCUCAACAGGGUUCGCCAACCAUGUUGGAUGAAGGACACCUCUGAUCAGGCCCGCUGCUUCCAAUUUCUUGAUCUCAUCGGCAAUGAACUCUUGCCAUUCUAGUGCUUGCUUUCGGACCUUCUACUUGACGGGGUGUGCAUGGGGACAAACAACAAGGUGGUACUCAAUCAUCUCCCCCGGAACAUCGGGGAUGUCAGAUGGUUGGUAGGAAAAUACAUUGAUAUUCGCCUGCACGAAGGAGAUGAGCACACUAUCCUAUUUGUCGUUGAGGGUGGCACUCAUGGUGAAAGUGCCACCCUCUCCGUCUUCCCGUGUAGCCACUUGCUUUGUCUUGGGAAUGUACAAUUUGUUUUUCUUGCUCCUGGUGGCAGAAGUCUCGAGUAAGUCCUUGACGGGCGUGUCAGGCUCUGCAGCGUGCUUCCCAGAGUUCCCAUGAGCUUCGCUAGAAGUCUUGCUCUUGUUCUCCUCCUGGGAGAUUUGCCAGCAGGAGUGAGUGCCUUGUCAACAAACGCUGCAACUGCCUUCUGGUCAGCUAGUCGAUACAGAGGACCAUAUCCUUGUUGGCAGCAUGGAUGGUGAUGAUGCUCAUUAGCCCUGGCAUCUUGAGCAUGUUGUAGGAAUGAUGGGAUGCUGCCAUGAACUUCGCUAGUGCUGGUCAGCCCAAGAUCCCAUUGUAUGGUAGGGACAUCUGGGCAACGUCGAAGGUGACCCUUUCUUUCCUAAAGUUGAGCUCGCUGCCAAACGUCACCGGCAGAAUUAUAUUCCCCUUGGGCUGCAGUUUCCCUGGGUUGACCCCCUCGAGGGACCCCAUCGGCUUGAGAUCGAUAAUGGGAAUCUGCAGCCGCUUGAUCAAGUCUGUCAGAAUCAGAGCUCCGCAGACCCAGAAAAGGUUCAAAUUCUAGGGUGCGCUUGCUCUCCUACCCUGUUCUACCUCUCAACUUCAUUGCGACUCUCCAAUUGAUCAAGCUAAUGAAGGCGAACAAGAACACACAAGAAGUUUACCCAGGUCCUGAGCACCUUGCGGUGUAAAACCCUACUACUACUUGUUUGAAUUUCUUGAGGUGGAAGACAAGUACAAAGGCGAGUUCUUUCCCUAGUGGAGACGAUGGAUCCUUGCUACGGAGGCCGGGCUUGUCUUUUAUACUAGCCUUGGGCGGCUUCCCCUUGAAACACCCAACGGGAAAUGUUGGGGAUAUUACCUAUGGGUAACCCGCCCCUAGUGGGCCGGGUCACCAAAGUGGCGACUCGCCAUUAGCUGCGCGUCCCGUGGCCCAGAAGCUGGAUGGCGGUUCGAGAGGUCGUGCGGAUGAUGGAUUACCAAGAAAGCUCCUAAUCGUGGGGGACACGGCGACUUAGAGAUAAGGAAAGCCACAAAGACUAAAAUGGCAGGACUUUGUAAACCCUAGGGCCUGGACCUUUAUAUAAAGGCGAGUCCCAGGGAGAGGUCAGGCGAGUUAGAGAGAAUCGAGAGCUAGGUCAGGCGAGUUACGCCCUCCUUGUAAUCGAAACCACCAUUAAUC